This 46853-nucleotide long non-coding RNA is filed under the name Ananas comosus (pineapple). RNAcentral describes it as "long non-coding RNA (ACOM_LNC020757)". The stretch from base 31555 to 31687 matches the Rfam family "small nucleolar RNA snoR130". The record is from RNAcentral. Lineage: Eukaryota; Viridiplantae; Streptophyta; Magnoliopsida; Poales; Bromeliaceae.
UAAAAUUCAAGUUUAGAAAACGAGGCCUAAGUGUGAAAUUUUCAGUCUGUUCAAUGAUAGCACAUUUCAUAGGCUUGAGUACAAGAGAGUAGAGAAGUAGAAUGUACCUUAUUUCAAAACAACUUCCUUGUGAGCUUUAAACGACAGUAUAACAUUCCAAGCAAGAGCUACAAAGUUCGCGGCAAGAACCUGAUACAGAAAUCACAAAAGAUUCAGAAUCAAAGAAGACGAUUUUCAAAGGGAAAGAUACUUCAAAUCUUAUACAAAAUAUGGUUGAUUUUCAAAGCAGUAUAUACUAUUUUUUUCAUUAUUAAGAAAACUAACUGAACAAAGGCAUCCAAUGAAUAGGAAUUGUUGAUUUCGGAAAGUGAACUAACAUAUCUCUCUUCACCUUUUCCUUUCAAACAAACAAGACUAAAUUGCAAAGACAGAGUAUGGUAUUAAACCUGAAAUUUCUGUGGGACGAAGUAGAAGUUCAGAAACUGGAAUGGGAUCCACAACUGCCAAUUUGCUAGCACUGAUGAAAACCACUCCUGCAAAAGAAACAUAUUUUGGCAGAAUUACGAGUAAAGAAAGUUUCUGCUAGAGUGUUGCUUCGGCAAGCAAAUGAGGCAUAAAUCACCUGCUGAAGCUUUGGCACCACAAGGGAAGGCCUUCCCUCUAGCGUGACAAGUAAACUCAUAAAAACUCCAAUGAAGAUAGGGGAGAAGAUGAACUGUUAAAAAAAAUACAGUUCGUUAAUUUUAGGCUCAAACAAAUAAACACAUAGCACAAAAGGCAAGUCAAUUCUGCUUAUUGUGAAACAUAAGCCUACCUGAUCAAGCAAAAGGCGAACAAAUGCACCUGAUGCUCCACUCGCAGUCACCAAUUUACUCAAGUAUAAAUACCUACAAAUAGAAAUUUUCAAAUUGACAAAUUAAACUCAUAAAAUAUAAUCUCUAUAAAUAUGCAAGAAGAAAAUGAGCAGAAGAAAUCAUAGCACGAUGUCUAAUGGAUGGAUUUACAAUUUCAAAAACGAGAAGCACAUUUUCGUCAUUACCAUAUAUGCAAUGUGGGGCCCACCAAGACAAGACCCAACAAAGUGAAGACAAAAGUUCGCUUCAGAUCCAGCUUUGACACCUGAUCAAUUAGAAGCUGCCAAAAUCGGAACAAAGGGUAACAAUGUAAGAUGCUACUUGUAGUAAUUGGCAGUCAAAAACUUAAAAUUAUAUGCAUAAUAUUAUAUAAUAUCACCACAAUUUUAGUCUCAAUCCCUGCCGAAGGGUGGUUUGUCUCAAAAAAGAAAAAAAAAAAUAGAAAAGACAAAGCAAAAACAAUACAGACAGUCCUCAUAAGAUCAAUUUGGCUAAAUAUAAACCAUAGCAACUCUGCUCUAUAUCAUGCUUAUUUCUAUUAUAUAGUUGACCUACAUAGAACAAAAAUAUGUAAUUUACUGAAUUCCACUUUUAUGCUCCUUCUCUUCGCGUAAGUUAAUUAUGGAUAUCUGCAUUUUCAUUUUCUUUUAUCUUUUAUUUUUGUGGUUAAUAAGAAGAGGACUUCUUUAUUAUGAUUCCGUCAAACAAAAAUUAGCAAGUCAAACAGUUUCAAUAUGCCAUUAGAACAAUCUAUGGUUUUACCGGAAUGCUGACCAUAAAUUAACUAGGUAAUUUAGAAGCGCCAAUCUACUAACCAGGAAACAAGUGCCAUUCAGGAUGACACUGUUUCAACCCAGUUUACGAAAAAUUAUAAUCCCUAAAACAACCUUUCAAUACCAAGUAACAGCUAAAUUCUAUCUGCUGUGAAGAGGAGUCAAAUUCUCAUGAAGACAACACAAGGAGAGGAAAAAAAGGGCUGAAAAAUGAGAUGUUUGGGCGCAUUCACCACGAAAAUAUUGUAAGAAAACAAAUUUAUUAAUUAAAAUGCUCCCAAAUAUUCUGGCCCAAAUUACUGAAGUCACACAAAAACCCAAGAACAAAGUCUUAUAAAAAAAUAAUUUGAGAAAAUUACAAAUUGUUUUUCACAAGAUCCAAAUCCAGGAUUGAUUUUCAUUAGUAUGCCAUUGGAGUCUACUCACUACGGCUAUGCAGAAUAAAGGACACUCUCCAAGAUUCAAAUUUAAAUAUGAGUGACAACCUACCUACAGUAUCAUGCAAUAUUCUCAUGGUUAUCUGAUUUAUAGCGCGAGGCGAUGUUUAGAGUAGGUACAUAUUUCAGGUUGUAGUAGUAAUAUCUACAAAUGCCAAGCUGCAUAAGUUGCCACAGCAAAUUUUGUCAGGUAUGAGCUUGAAAGAUGUAUAUACAUAGAGAAUAUAAUCUAAUAAGAAAAAGAGAAAGCAACUACUACAUUUGAAGAAAGAAAAAUAAAUAAGGAUUCUCAUAUUUACCAUGUAGUUCAGAAUUAUUUACCAUGUAAGUAAUACCUGGAAAAAGAACUUUCAGUCUCUAAUAUUAAGGCCAUAAACAUCAAUUACUCAAAAAAGGAACAAGAUUUUACAACCUCCUUGAAUAUGGAGGGCAUGGAAUUAUAUCUAAAUUAAGAAUCUAAAGCAAGAGAAUGGCGAAAGCAUAUCAUAUCCGUCAAACUAUAAUCGUGUUCAACAAGCUCAAGAAAUUUUGAGAGGGCCAGUAUCUACCUGGCAUAUUAAGUCACCAACAAGAGUUAGAAUAGCAGAUGUUAUAGCUUUAGUUGUCACCGGAUACUUAUCCAGAGCCAUCAGAUACCUAAAAUGAUAUACAACGGGUAACUAACAAGCUCUCAUAUUCUCCAGGAAAGUGUUGGUUAGUCCCGAAUUUGCUUAUUAGUUGAUAAGAACCCCAGCAAAAUCUCCAUGAAGAUAGCAGUAAUAUUGUAUUUUAACAUAUCAAAUUCUUUAGUGCAACAGAACAAACAGAUUCCAUCACAUUUGCCAACUCAUGCUUUAUUACCGAGAAUUCUAACAGUCAACAAUGACAAUCACUGAGCAUUACCAUUAUCUAAAACAGUUGGUUCCACAAUUAAGACUUCAUUGCACAACUAAAUGAUCAUCAUCAAUCAGCCAUGUUUCCAUAUAAUACUGCAGGAAAAAUAACCAUAUGGAAGGGGAAAAUGGAUAACAUAUUCCAAAAUUUUAUAAAAUAAGAAACAAGAUUGCACCGAUGUUUAAAACAAUUGACAGCAGAAAGAAAAACAUAUCAAAUGCAAAACUGUCUCAAUUACAUGCUUGUAUUUGCCAAUUGCAUUUAUUUUGAAAUUCAUCACACAAAAUAUUCACUCCUAAAUCCCCAAGAGAGAUAAGUUACCAUCUCUUAGACCUUUUUUGUACUAAUCGAAGAAUAUUAAGUUGAAUUCUCUACAGGAAGAAAUAAAAUUGAAGGGAAUACUUCCAUUAGCACCCCUGUGGUUUGAAAAAUGUUACUUUACUACUCUAUAGUUUUGUUUUUGUUUCAUCGAAAGGACCUAUCGUUAAAUAGGGUAGUAAAAUGUUGUAAUUUACAAAUCACAUGGUCAUAAAACAAAAAUUUUAGGCUAUUAAUAAGCUGUAUUCUACCACCUGUAGUUUAUAAAGUAGCAGUUUAUAAUCUCAUGAUUUGUAAAUUGUAUUAUGUUGCUAUCCUAUUCAACGACAAGUCCGUACGGCAAAAACAAAAACAAAAUCAUAAGGUAACAAAAAUGUUACUUUUCAAAUCAUAGGAUGAUAAAAUAGAAAUGCGCUAAACCACAGAUUUUCCCGAAGUUAAAUUGGGGAUCUAAUUAAAGUCAUAAUUUCAUCAAAUUUAUUGUCUUUAAUCACUUUUUUGCAAACGCAACUGGAAUAAUUACCACCUAAUAGCUAGUAGGGACAUUAAAUUAAAUAAAAUUUUCAACUUUACUAACUUAGAAUAACUUAACUCUAAGAAAUCCAAAUUUCAUGUGUCAAAUUAAAAAUAUUUCUGAGGGGGGUCUCGCCACACAUACAGCAAAAAAAAAUGUAUAAAAAAAUUAUCUCUAAUCAUUGUUGGAACAACUAAACUAUAAUAUCAUAAAAUUUGUCCCCAUAAAAGAGGGGUUUUGACCAAAAAAAAAAAAAAAAAAAGUGGAAAAAUUACCAUGAGAGCACUGAUCGAUCACUCCCAUCUUUCCCAUUUUCACCACCACCACCUCCUCCUCCUCCUCCCUCCUCCUCCACCACCACCGCGGGAGCUCCAUCUCCCGACCCCCAAAACCACCACCAUCGGAAACCGCUCGAAGCUUCGCGAAGCCGAAACCCACUCGCCGAACCCAACACCACAAGAAGGAAUUGGGGAAGCCUCGGGAGGAGCGAGUGGGAACCGCGGAGCGGAGAAGCGCUUCUCCCCCAACAAGAAGCGGUUCUGCGGAGAGAGGAGAUGGCUUUGGGAGAGAAGGGGAUGGUGGAGUCGAAGGCGUUGAAUGCAAUGGCGAUUUGCGGAGCGUUGCCGCCAUUGUCGCGCUGCAGCGGAGCAUCGGAGAGAGGGGAGAGAGGGGGAGUGUCCGAUGAGGGUUUGUAAAUUUAUUACCAACAAGGUGUUGUAAUUGCAGUAGAUUCUCAGUUUAGAAAUUUUUAGGGCCGUUUUAGUUUGUUUUAAAACAACAGUGAGAAAUUUACUUGCUACACCAAAUAUAUAUAUAUAUAUAUAUAUAUAUAUAGAGGAGAGAGAGAGAGAGAGAGAGAGAGAGAGAGUGUGUGUGUAUGUGUGUAGAGUUACUAUGCUAUCGGAAAUAUAGAGGAUUUAUACUUCCGACUUUUUGACCUUAUAUCAAGAAUUCUUAUAAUUAGGAUAAUUGUGGUCUCUCAUAAGGUUGAGUAGUAUCCUAAGAUUGAGUGAUCUGCACAGAGUAAUAAAAUUAAUCCAAAAAUUAGAAAUGAUCAAAGAGUUGAUCUAAGAGCCACAAAAUUGGAACUAUCAAUCCUCUAUGCUUCUGAUAACAUAGCAACUUUAACUACUAUAUAUAUAUAUAUAUAUAUAUAUAUAUAUAUAGUCGGACUAGAAUACUAUUGAUAGCAAAAGGUCAUUUUUUACUAUCAAGUUUUUAGCCUAUAGAUCAAUUCCUUUCAUCACUUCUAACCAUUGUAUUAAAUAUUAUAAUCCAGUGAGGAUCACUCAACCCUAAAUAUUAUUCUAACCUUACAAAUUCUCAUCCAAUAGUUAAAAACUUAAUAACAAAAAAGGUCAUUCGCUAUCAACAGUAUUCCAGCCCAACUCUAUAUAUUUAUAUAUAUAUAUAUAGAGAGAGAGAGAGAGAGAGAGAGAGAGUUGAGCUUCUAUGCUUUUAAAAGUACCAAAUUAUUAGUGUUUGUAGAUUUUUGGCUUUUGGAUUAAGGGAUGUGCGGUUAGGAUUAUGUGGGACCUCUAGGAUUGAAUGGAUGGUUGGUUGAAUAGUAUGAUAUAAAAGAUAGAAAUGAUCAAAGGGAUAGAUCUAACAGUAAAAAAUUUACAAGUACAAAGUGUUUGGUAUUUUUACAAACACCAUAGCCGGAUACUCUCUCUUUCUCUAUAUAUAUAUAUAUAUAUAGAUUUUACACUAUAUACUUAACAUUCAAAAAAAUUCAAAUUGUUACAGCAAAAAGGGAAAGGAAAAUUUGAUUGUGAUAAGUAAAAAAUAAUAAUUUUUGGUACAAAAGUACAAGAUAUAUACCCAAUUUUUGGUGUAUACGGACUAUUGCUAAGAAGCAAAAUAAAAGCUCUGUUUGUAUAUUUGAAAAGAGAGUAUAGAUCUUAUACCCCACAUAUUAGGAUUUACAAAAAUUCAAAUUAUCUUUAGUAAAUAAGAAAAAAUUUAAUAUAAUAAGUAAAAAAUGAUAGCCAUUGAAUUAAAAGGCUGUAAAAUGUACGCUUUAGGAUGUACUAAUUGCAUUACUUAGAAAGGAAGAGAAAAUUUAUUUAUACACUCCAAAAAAGCUUGUAAAGAAAAAAAAAGAAAAGAAAAAUGAUGUGAUUGGUAAAGAAUAAUGUCCUUCGGAUUAAAAGAGUGGUAAAAAAAGGUUGUUGCUAACUGUGCAUUUUCACAUAGUUGCAGGGAGUAUAUUUGCAUUAUAUGUAGUGGUGCAAAUCGGUUUGGCCCAGCUCGGAUUCAAUUUCGGGCCCGGCCGUACCAGACCCAAGUUGCCUAUCCUCUCGCCCGGCACAGCCCUUCGGCUUGAAAGGCACGGGCCGUGCCAGGGCGGGCCGUGCUUCGGGCCGGCCUAGUACAGUAUUUAUUUUUUAAUUUUUUUUAAAAAAUUAAGUAUAAAAUUUUAAAAAAUAAACAAUAAAUAUUUUUAUUUAAAUUAAUAUUUUGAUUAAAAUAUUAAAAAAAAUCAUAAAAAUAAUCAUACUAAAAUAAAUACUUAAUUUAAAAAAAAAAAUUGCAUUAUUUUUUUGAAAAAAAAAAGAGAUAGAUUUUUGGUCCAAUGGACCAAAAUUCUUUUGUCCAUUGGACCAAAACCUUCUCCUCCCAAGGCUUGCUAGACAGACCUUAGGAGGAGAGCUCCUUGGGAGAAGGGCACCUCAGGAGCUCAGACCCCAUGGCCCAAGGCAAUUGGAUCUCGGGGUCCAGGCUUGGGCCGCUCGCCUCCCUUCGGCACGAUAUAGCCCAGGCCCGUUUCAGGUCAUACCGUGCCGGGCCGUCGUGCUCCAAAUAAAAGGCCUAGCACGGCCCAGAGCCUCGGGCCAGGCCGGCCCGGCACAAGUGCUAUAAUACUCGAGCCGUGCCGUGCUGUUGCCCGGCCCGAGGCCAUGCCGUGCAGGGCGGCCCACGUACCGCACAACCCGUUUUACAUCCCUAGGAGCAAAAUAGUAGCUUACAAUGUUUGGUGGUGGGAAAUGAAUUUUAAGAGGUAGUUAGGUAGCUUAAUACAAGUGAUUGUGUUUUGGAGUUCUUUGACUCCAACAAAGUUGUUGCUAGGGCUGGUAAUUCAGCUCGCUGCUCGUGAGUCAGCUCAUGUUUGACUUAGAAUGAGCUCGAGAUCGAUUGCUUGUUCAAUAAACAAAUCUAACAUGAGUUGAAUUUUUCAGCUCAAAAGUUUAACAAGCCGAAAACUAGUUAGAGUCAACUCUAACGAGUCGAACAUGAGCUAACUUGCAAACAACAAAUUAGAUUGUCAGCCCUACUAAUGGAUAAAAAGUUGAAAGAAAUUAGAAAAUUAGAAUCUUAAUCUACUAAUUGGUAUUCACAAAAUAUAAUUUUCUUUACAUUAUAUACAGAGAGAUAGAGCUAGACUCUUAUACUAUCUGUAAUACCGAAACUCUGGCACUAUAGUCUCGCUUUUAAUCUUUGAAUGUUCAAAUCAGCGAUCCAUACCGUUAAAACUGAUCUAUUGUAUUUUAAAAUUUUUAGAAAUAAAAUUUUAUAUUUUUUCGAUAUAGUUUAUUUUAUGAUCAAAAUAUUUCAAAAUUGUCAAUUUUCAAUGACUAGUAUGGUGAAUUUAUAGUUUAAAGGUGUAGAAGAAUCUAAAUUUAUUCAAAUUUUGAUAGAAAAUACUUUAAACUAUCAAAAUCAAGAACAACAUCCUUGAUCUUGAAUUUAAAAGUUCUAUCCUCAAAUUUUAAAAAUUGUUCAAUUUCAACCAUUCAUUUUGACAUGAUUUACUUACUACGUAAACAAUGUCGAAAAAAAUCAAAAUUUUAUUUCUAUGAACUUCAUAUACCCUAUAUCAUAUUUAACAGUAUAGAUCGUUGAUUUGAACAUCCUAAUAUCAAAAACGAGAUUAUAGUAUCGGAGCUCCGGUACUACAGAUAGUAUAGUACUCUAAUUCUAUAUAUAUAUCUAUAUCUAUACUCUAUGUAAAAGCAUAUAAGAAUUCUGGCAAUGACAAACGGAAUUCAAAAAGGAAUAAAAUAAUAUCUCUACAUUUCCUACAAACGGAUAUGAUCAGUUUAUUAAAAAAAUCUCAAAUAAGAACAGUUAUGAUCAAUCUGUUAAAAAAUAGCAUUCUUAUCUAUCUAUAAAUCCAAUCCUACGAACAGUUGUAUCAAUUAAAAAUGAACGGCUAUGAUCAAUCUGUUAAAGAUAGCAUUCUUAUUCAUUUAUAAAUUCAAUUCUAUGAACGGUUGUGAUCAAUUAAAAACGAACGAUUAUAAUUAAUCAGUUAAAAUUUUAAUCUAAAUAAAAAAUUAAACUUUAUUAUAAAUUUAAAUUUAAAAAAAGUUUAAAUCGUAAAUUAAAUUUAAUUUGGGUAUCAAAUUUGAACUAUUCAUCAAUUGUGAUUAAUUAAAAACGAACGGUUAUGAUCAAUCUGUUAAAAUUUUAAUUUAUAUCGAGUCUACAAACGAUUGUGAUCAAUUAAAAACAAAUGGUUAUGAUCAAUUAAAAACGAACGGUUAUGAUCAAUCUAUUAAAAAAUAGUAUUCCUAUCUAUAUCUAUACUAUAUAUAUAUAUAAAAGCGUAUAAGAAUAUUUCCUACGAACGUUUAUGAUAAAUUUAUAAAAAAAAAUAUCUCAUACAAGAUCAAAAAUACCCUCAAUAUUUGUAUUUUCUAUCUGCGCAUUUCUCAAAUAUUUUCUUUCUAUCCGCCAAUCACGUAAUAUAUAAAAUUAAAUUAAUAUCCGACAAUCACGUAAUAUGUAAAACUAAAUUUAUCUCUUAUCUACGCAUUUUUUCAAAUAUUUUUUUUUCUCAAAUGUAAUAGCCGUCAAUCACAUAGCACUCAAAAUUAAAUUUUAAAUUUUGAAUUAAGCAUAAAUUAAAUCUAUUAUAUACACUUUCUACGUGUUUUCUUAAAUAUUUUCUUUCAUAGUACCCGCCAAUCACGUAGUGCUCUAAAUUAAAUUUUAAAUUUUACUUUAAAUUUUGAAUUAAAUAUGAAUUAAAUCUACUAUCUACACGUUUUCUCAAAUAUUUUCUUUCUAACAUACCGCCAAUCUUUUCUAACGUAAUUCAUGCCAAAAUUUAAUACUUGCAAAUAUGAUAAUUUAAAAUUUAAUUCAUGAUAAUAUAUUUUCUUACGUGAUAUAGUAGAUUUAAUUUUAGGGUAUUACAUUUUGGCGUGCCAUGUAAGCGUAGAAUAUUACUAAAAAAAUUUAAUACCUGCCCAAUCAAAUGUAAAUCAUUAAUUAAAUAUAAUUUUAAUUUUUUUUAGCAAAAUAUUUAAUGUUUAACUAAUACCCGCUAAAAUAUUCUACACUUAACGUGUUUCUCAAAUAGAGAGCUUAUCUUAAUAUUAUUAAAAAAAUUUAAUAUCUGCCCAAUCAAAUGUAAAUCGUUAAUUAAAUAUAAUUUUAAUUUUUUUUAGCAAAAUAUUCAAUGUUUAACUAAUACCCGCUAAAAUAUUCUACACUUAACGCGUUUCUCAACUAGAGAGCUUAUCUUAUUACUCUCGCAUAAUACUAAUCUACACUAUCUAAUCUUAUCUCAUCAUAAUACUUAUCAUACGCAUAUCUUUUUUCAGUAUUUCCCUAUUUCCAAAAAAGAUAUUUUUCCAUUUCCACCCAAAUCUAUAUUGUUUUUAGUAAUAUUCUUUUUUAUUUGUAUCUUUUUCAAAUAUUUUCAAUUUUUUUUUUACUAAUAUCCUUUCUCAUUUGUCCCUGUCGCUAGCAUCGGCACAUCGUCAUCGUCCUCUUCACUGUCAUCGUCAGCACCAAUGCCGCCACAUUAUCGCCUUCGCCACCUUCGCCACAUUUAGAGAGGUAUUUUGAUUUAACCUAAAAUUUUCUCUUUUUUUUUAUGUGAUUUUAUACUGUUUUAGUAUAUCUCUUUUUAGUAUUUCUUUAUUUUCAUCUAUAUAUUUCUCAAAUAUAAAUUAUAUAUUUUUUCACAUAUAUUUUUCUCAAAUAUUUUUUUUAGUAAUAUCCUUUUUCAUUUAUCCCCGUCAUCAGCACUAGUGCACUAUCAUCAUUCUCCUCAUUGUCAUCGUCAUCAUCGGCGCCGGCAUAUUGUCGUUUUGGGCACUUUCACCACAGUUGGAGAUGUAUUUGGAUCUCACUUGAAAUUCUUUUUUUAAUGUGCUUUUAUACUGUUUUACUUUUUAAGUUUUUUUUCAGAACUUUUAUCUCUCAUAUUGAGAUUGGGGUUAAAUUUAAGCAUAAACAGAAAUAAAAUUAUUAUUUGGAAUUUGAAUUGCUCAGAUUAAAUAUGGAUAAGCCUGCAUAAUUUCGGCCUAUAGCAUAUUUAGAUUUGUACUUAUGACUGUAAUAAACUCACUGGGCUAAACUAAAAAACCAAAAAAAAAAAGAGAAAUGUAGCUAAUUAAUUUGGGCUUGAACUUGCUUAGAUUGUAAUUUGGACUUGAAAUUGCUUAGAUCUGAAAUAAAUUUAUUAGGAAAAGAAAGAUUUGAGUUGAUUUGGGCUUAGGCUUGCUUGGGUGUACUAAAUUAUAUAUACUACUUAUAAAAAAUAAGUUUUAAUUUUUUUUUCUUUUUCAAAAUGCUAUCCCCUAUUAAUAUAAUUUCAAUCACAUACUAACAAUAUCACUCAGUCAAUUUUUAUAGAUAUAAAUCACAGUGGUAUAAUUUUUAUUUCAUUUUUAAAUUAUCAUAAAAUGUAUUAAUUCUUAGUCAUUGGAUAUAAUCCAAUGACCAACGAAUUAAGUAUCUGUCACUUUUUUUUUUACCUACCCUAUCUCCUUAGACUUCUUUAAAAAAAAAAUUCAUGCCAAUGGUUAUGAUUAAUUUAUUAAAAACAUCUCAAAUAAAAAUAAAUAGUUAUAAUCAAUCUAUUAAAACAUAGCAUUCUUAUCUAUCAAUAUAUUAAAUCUUUAAAUGGUUAUGAUUUAACCAUUAAAAUUUUUUAAGUAUAAUGGAUCAAAAUUAAAUUUUAACAAAUUUAAGUUUAUAAAUUUUGGAUAUCACGUUUGAAUUAACAAUUAAAAUAUUUAAUUACGAUGAAUCAAAAUUAAAUUUCAAAUUUUAAAGUAAAUGUGAAUUAAAUUUUAAUAUUUUUAGUUUAAAUAACAUACUUAAAUUUUAAAUUUAUCCAAAUUCAAAAAUAUAUAAAAAUAUUCAAUGUAUAUAUUGAAAAAAUAAUAUAAAAUGUUGCAGAUAUUUUCUAAUAAAAUAUAACAUAUUAAUUUAUAAAACAUAGUUUUUGUUGUAAAUUUUUGAAAAAAAAUAUAAUGUUAAAAAUUUAUAUUGAUUUGAAAUAAAUUAAAAUAAUUUUUUGUGCAUUUGCAUGUACACUCAGCUAAUAUAAUAAACAAGCCGAAGACGUGAUGAAUAUUUUAACUCAAUAUUUUAACAGGCAAGCUCAUGUUUGGCUUGAUUAAUAAACGAGUGAACACAAGGCGACCCCAACUCGCUUGCGUUCGGCUCAUUUGCAGGCCCCAUUUAGCUUCUCAAUAAUAACUUGUGAUAGAAAGCAUAUAUAAUUAGAAAGAGUUUCAAACUUAGCUCACACUAUCUAUAAAAUAGAGAGGCAAUUGCUUAUAUAUCCAUAAAAAGUUUCCGACUUUCUAAUUUACCCCUCUUAGAAGGCUAAUAUUGAAAAUACCCUUUUUAAGUUCCAACUCAUUUCAAAUAUACCCCUAUAGUUAAAACCUGUUAAUAAAUUUUGUUAUCUGUAUAAAAUUACUAUUUUACCCUUUCAAAUAUACCCUUCCAUCAUUACCGACUUUUCUUAUUUGCCCUUAAGUCAGGGGCAUAAAAGUAUUUUGACUUUUGGUCUUUUCAAAUAUACUCCUCUACCAUUACCAACAUUUCUUAUUUACCAUUAAGUUAAGGGCAAAAUUAAUAUUUUAAAUUUUUUUUAACUGUGGUAGAUAUUUAACUCACGUUUAACUCAAGUUAACUUAACGGGUACGGUGGUAACUGUGACAUAUGAGAAGUUUAUUGAAAAGAAAAAAAAAAUAGUGGUAAAUGAGACAUUCCCGAAAUUUCGCAAUUAUCCCUAAAAUAGAAAAUAAAUCAAUGAUGAAAAAAAAAAAUUUGAACCAUUCCCAGACGUUUUGCCUCUUGCUUCGUCUUUUCAUCUGCCUACUUUUUAAUUAAUGUAUUCACAUGGUCUAUUAUCACCUAAAUAAAUCGUUUUUACAAGAAAAAAAUAAUAAAAUAAAAUUUUUUUUACUCUUUUUUUUUCAUACUAGUAUUUAUUCAUGUCUCAUGGCAAUUCAAAAAAUUUUAAAAUUUUUAUUUUAUCAAUCUUCUAUCUUUUAUAGUUUUAACCCGCCGCAAUGCGCGGGUGAUUUCACUAUUACCCAUGGUGACGGUACAAAUGUUAUGUAAACCAGCCCACAGCAAUGCACGCAUGAUGAGAAAUAAACAGUACAUGCAUAUGAUCAUACCAGUCAUAAUAAAUAUAUUAUCGCAAACAGAAGAAAACAGCACUAAAGCACAUUCAGGAUGUGCAGGCAGGAGGCUUUCAAAAGCGCGAGGCAAGUUCUUCCACCGAAGAUGGUCGAGCAGCAACGCACCGCUGAAGCAAAUUCAUUUGUUAGUGUUUUAAGAUUACCUUACCACAAAAGUUGCGUAGAUAACCGCCAAAGUUGGUGUUUACUUGCGUGCCUCUGAAAGCAAGCUGUAUUUACAUGCAGAAAACGUUUUGGAAACAUAUUUUAAUUCUGUACACCUACAAAGUAAUUUGUGGAGCAACAUAUAUACGUGACAAAGUUGUUACUUCCAAUUUAUUCAACAUCGAUUAAGGACAAGUUCCCGAUGAUGCACUGACACGAACUAUCAUGACUAACCCCACGAACCGAUACGAAUCGAUCACUGAUCAGGAAAUUCUAAGAGGUCUCGUGCUUCUCUUGACCGGAGGGAUCGAAAUUCCUGAUCUCGAGUGAUGAGUCAAGCCCGACGUCACCAUUGAAUGGAGCCGGAUUUCCACAAUGCUGAGGUUUGCGCUCGACUGCAUCGAGGAACUCCGUCAUGUCUUCACUCAAUCUAGCCUGAUCAUUAACGAAUUCGUCCGGCCUAGAGAAUUCUUCUGUAGGUGACAUCUCUCGCACACUCGAUUUUGGACCUGACAUUAGUGUACUCAGACAUGAAAACAAGUUAUACCGUGAUCGGUGUUCGAAUAUAUAAAAAGGAUCAAUGAAAUUCGAAUGAAAUUCAAAACACUUGAUGGUGAUUCUUACCAGGAAGCGACUCGUGGGGAAUCGUAGCUAAAAGAUCGCUGACAGUAGGUGAAUUGUGACUUUCGGGCGUCGAUUGAGGUCUCGAAUUAGAUAGUACCUGAUGAACCACUGCUUCCAACAUGCCGUCGUUUUGCGGUGGGACACAUUCACUUUGAACAGAUGUGCUUGGGACAUGAGCUUGAGCAUAAGCAUCAACCGAGUCGAAAGGAAUUGGCAAGGGAAAGAGCUCCAUGGGCUCAUCAAGAAGCCCGUCAAAGGACGCAAAGCCAAAGGAAUUGCCGCAUACGAGCGCGUGAUCAUUCCUGCUAAUAACGGAACUGCAAGAAGGCGCAAAGUUGUUAGUAAACUGGUAAUAAAUGGGCGAACCAAGACCGCAUUCAGGCUCAUCGGAUAAAUGCACGAGUGGUGGAAGUCCGGCAGAGAAUGGAUCUGUCAGUGCAUAAAUUUCUGACUGGAAAUCUUGAACAAGCAUGUUUGCAGGGUGAAAACUAUCCAUUUGGUGGUUAGAAUUCGCGCACUCAUUUAUGCAAUAGGAAAUCUCAGAGCCAUUUUCUUGCGAAAGCUCGUAGGGUGGAUUAAUGCCGCCGUCGAAUGCACCGAGAAUCUGUGUUUGCUGCUGCUGCUCUUCAUUCAACACCUGGAGCUGGACAUUAUCAGGAUAUGAGGCCAGUUUGGCGCGCUUGAGCCUCUUCCUUCUAGUGUUCCAGAAGUUCUUUAUCUCAUUAUCAGUGCGCCCUGGCAACUAAGGAAAGAGUAAGCUGGAAUUAAAGUGUUAAAAACCACAACUGAUGAUCUGAAGGAAGAAAUUAUUCCACUGACACAUGAUACUGAAAGAAAAAGGACUACUACUAUAAGUGCAACAAGAUUAAAAUGGCACAAUAGUUCUUAUUAGUACUUCGAAUCAUCUUUCAUUAUGCAACUUAAAUAUUUCUUGCAGUUUUUCACAAACUGAGCUCAGUUUGUGUCAGCUAAUUAGAUGAAAUAUCCAUUUUAGUCCUACAAUGUACAAUUGGAGCUCUUCUUGUUCCCUAAGGUAGCGUUUGGUUCGGAAACAAAGGAGGGGAAUAAGCCGUUGUUCCCUCUUUUGUUCCCAAACGCUGCGUUUGGUACCCGAGAAUAGUAGUUCUCGGAUUUCUGAAACAAAGCGGUAUAAGGCUGGACUGCUGUUUCACCUUUUCCCUGAAACAAGCUUGUUUUCAGGUGAGAAUAAGGUUAAUUAAAGUCUAAAAAUAAUUUUAAUUAUAAUAUUAAAUAAUUAAUUAAUUUAAUUAAUGUAUUUAAAUCAUUAUUUAUUGCUUAAAUAAUGAUUUAAAUUAUUCUUAAUUUAUUAUUUAUUUUAUUAUUAAUUAAUUUAUUUAUUAUUUAUAAUUAUUCUUAAUUUAUUAUUAUAUACUAUAUUAUCUAAUUAAUUAAUUAUUAAUAAUUUAUUAUUUAUAAAUUUAUUAUUAACUAAUUAAUUUAUAUUUUAUAAUUGUAACUCUUAUUCACUUUGUUGUAAUCCAACCAUCCAAACAGUAUUUAUUUUAUUCCUAUAAACAACUCGUGAAUUUUAACUAAACACUGGCCAAAAAAAGUCUUCAAUAUUGUCGGGGAAUGCUUGCUAAUAUGAUUUAGUCACAUUAUCAUUAAGGUCUAAUGUGGUUAUUGUAGCGCGACAAUGACGGAACUCACACUAUUAAGAUACUAACCGUGCUAAUUAACCAAUAGAUACAUAGGAUCCCAAUAACCCCCAACCAAAAUAUGCAAACAAUUGAAGUAAAAUAAGUAGAAAGAGAAAGCCCGAGUUCAACCAUAUGACAAACAGAUCCAUGUGGUUUACCCGCACUGGACUGCUCCACGAGCACGAAGAAGAUCCAAUUCACCAUCAAAAUGAAAAAAAUUAUACUGAGUUGGAUAGAAAUAAAGGAAUAAAUAUUUUUUAAAAAUUAAUAUUUUUAUUCUUGGAAUAACCUACUAUUCUAAACUACAGAGUAAUAAACAAAAAAUUGUCUUUAAUUUGAUAUUUUUUAUUUUUAUUGCCUGGAAUGACCAUAUUCUUAUUUGAUAAUUUUAGGAAAAACUUCAAAAACCCCCCAUAUGGUUUCGUAGUUUCUCACUUUGCCCCCCUGUGAUUUAAAAUGUAUCAAUUUGCCCCCUAAUGGUUUCAUUUUUAUCUUUUCGGUAGCUUUUUCGUUAAUAUUUCAUUAAAUUAUAUACAAAAAACUUCAGAUACCCAUCUAGAUUUAUCAAAUAUUCACUUUAGUACCCUUUAAUUUUAACUUUAUCACUGAUUUAAGAAAAAAAAAUAAUAAAAUUGAUAAGAAAAAGAGAAAAAAGAAACCACAGGGGGGCAAAUUGAUACAUUUUAAAUCACAGGAGGACAAAGUAAGAAACUACGAAACCACAUGGGGUUUUUUUGAAGUUUUCCCAUAAUUUUAUUAAGAAUAGUUAAAAUAGUAGAUUAAAGUUUAUAGAAUCAAGAUUUGUCCUUAUUUAUAUCUCUUACUUAUAGAAUAUUUAAUAUACGUACAAUAAUGCAUAUAAAAAUAAUAUAUUUCAUAAAAUAUAAAUAAUUAAAAUGUUAUAUAUAUAAUGCUAUUAUAAUCAUAUAAUUACCUUAUACAGAAUACUUCAAUAUUAUUAUAUAAAAUACUUCAACAACAAUAUAUAAAAAUACAUCAAAAAUAAUAUAUGUAUGUAAAUAAUUAAUGACAAUAUAUUUUUGAACAUUAUAUAUUUAUAAUAUAUUUAUAACCUUAUAUAAUAUUUUAUUUUUAUAGUAUAUGGUACAUUAUAGAAUAAUGUCUAAUAUAAAUUUAUAACAUUAAUAAAGAUAAUAUAAUAUAAUAAUAGCACUAGUACUUGUUUUAGCAUUAAUAAUAACAUUGUUGAGGUAAAACAAAUAAAUAAAAAAAGAUUAUGGUUGGCCUGUAAUAUUAAUUUCGACUUAUUCAAUUUUAAUAGGCCUCGUAUGAGCUUAGAAAUUUUUGAAUAUAAACAUAAUUCGGGCCCAACAAUAAUAAUCCAAACCCGUUUAAAAGGUUCCACAUAUGAGCACACUCAUGUGGGCCUCAGAAAAUCCCGUUGAAUUUUCUUUUAGUCUAUCGAAAAAUUCAGGCUUCAUUUCAGUCUAACGAAUAUUAUUAUUUGGGCUCAAUUGAUUUGGAUUCAACCCGACCCAUUGGAUGCAUGACAGCCCAUAUCUGUAUCCACAUUCGAAAAUUUAAUUUUUUUAAAACAAUAUAAUAUGUUCAAAUUCAAUUUUAAAUUUUUUUAAAACACCAAUCAAUUAGAAAAUAUCUCUUAUCCUAACGAUCUCAUAUAUAUUCUUUUUCAUUCAAAAUUCAAUUUCGAAUUUUGAAUCACCAACCAACUCCAUAAAUAUUCUUUUCUCAGCCAAUCACAUCCACAUUCUAAAAUUCAAGUUCGAAUUUCAAAAAAAAUUCAAAUUUUUUAACUGACUUCUCAAAAUAUUUUUCACCCAACCCCACAAAUCGCUUCACUCUCAAAAAUAUUUCAGAAACUAUAAAUAAAGGAUAAGAAAAGAUAACACAAAGAGAGCACAAAAAAAAAGAAAAUCUCCCUCCCUCUCUUCCCUUAUAUAUAUAUAUACUAGUGUUGGGCCCGCGCUUCGCGACGGGUAAAUAAUAUUUUAUCAAAUUUAAACAUUUUAAUUUAUACAAAUUUUAAUAAAUAGUUUGUAGUAUUUUAGAAAAUUUAAAAAUUUUAAUUUGUACCCAAUCCAAACGGGCCUAAGUGUAUCAAAUAUGAUACAGGAGAUUAUUUUCUGCCUAUAUAAAAAUAUGCAUUAUAUCAUAUAUAGGUGAUAAUAAAUUAUCUAUAGAUGAACAUAUCAAAUCUUUGUGGCAUAGUAUAUUAAAAAUUAAUAUAGUCUUUACUUCCUAAAGGGAAAAAAUAAAAAAAAAACUAAUUGGUUAACUGACACUAAGUUUUUAAUUGAUUAUCUUCUUCUCUAAUCAAAUGAAUAUAUUAAUUUGAUCGGAUUAAUCUACUUUUUCGAUAAAGGAUAAUGAUGCAAAUUGGCUAAAAAAAUAAAAAAUUGGGACACUAUAAAUGCAUGACAAAGAAAAGGAAAAGAAGAAUAAAGUAAUCUACUAUAUUGGAAAAACAAGAAAAGAAACAAUAUUAUAGACCAAAAAUCUAAUAAAUUUUCCAUUCUACUUUAGUCGAUAUUUAUAGUGUGCUUAUAAUUGAAAAUUUUUAUAACUGUUAUCUAUGAAAAAGAAGAGACAAUAUAGAAAGAGUAAAUGGGGAAUUUAAUUCUCUUAUUUAAUUUUUAUUAGAUGAACUGUCAAAUUAAAAAAAGCAUUAUUGGAAACUUUAUUUAAAAAUUCCACUCUUAGAAAGAAAAACGGUCAAAUUAAAUGUGCAUUAAUUUAGAAAUUUUUAUUUGUUUAAAGUAGAGCAUGAAGCUAAUUACUUUCAGCUACUAAUUAUGGAAGCCAAAAAGAUUAUUAUAUAUAUAACAACAUUGGAUUAAUUAUAUGUAUUAAUUAUAUAUUAAACUAUAGUUAUUAUUGUGAUUAUAUAUCCAUAUCAGUUACUGAUCAUUAAAUUUUUCAUUUUGUUCUUUCAAAAUAUGGUAAGAAUUAUAAAUUAUAGAUAAGAAGUGGUUUAAUUCAAAGAGGGGCUGUAAGAAUGAAAGAUAACUUGCCAUGUGACAAGAAUUAUUGUGGCUUCAUAUAUAUAUAUAUAUAUAUAGCAGGGCUGCUGUGCUCCUAAGCCGUUUUCGAUGAUGGAGUUUCCGAAUCAACGAUCGGCUCCAUUAAACUUGAUCUAGCGUAUUUGAAGCUUCUAGAAAAUAAUUUUUGUAAUUUUUCGAUAUCAUUUACCUAGCAAUCGAAAUGAUUCAAAAUCAAUAAUUUUUAAUGGCUGAAAAUAAAAUUCUAUAAAAAAUGGUGAUAUAGCACUAAAAUUUUCGAUCGGAAAUAUUGAUCUUGUUGUAGAUAGUAUUAAAAAUUUUGUAUCAAAAUUUUAUCUGAUUUGAAUACUUUUACACCGUUAAACUUGAAAACGGCAGAUAUCAACCAUUAAAUAUUAUGGAUUUUGAAUCCUUUCGAUCACCAGGUAAAUGAUAUCAAGAAGCUUUAAAUACGCUAGAUCAAGUUUAACGGAGCUGAUCGUCGAUUCGGAAACUCCAUCAUCGAAAACGGCUCAGGAGCACAGAGGCCUCCGUGCUUCUGAGAGUACAGCAGCCCUGCUAUAUAUAUAUAUAUAUAUAUAUAUAUAUAUAUAUAUAUAUAUAUAUCAAAAUAAAAAAAAACUCUUUUUCUCCCCCCCCUUUUUUUUUUUUAACCCUGCAUAGGUCAUGCCACUAUCGUCAUCUACACUAUAGUCAUCUUCAACCACAUCGGUUUGACAUUUUCGAAGGAAGAGGAGAGGGGAGCCAAUGAUUUUCCGUUUUUUCGGACCCUUCAACUCUUUUCGAGAAUGUUAAAUCAAGCAUGCCGGGUAUCAUCAUCUAUGCGACCAUUGUCAUCUACGCUGUAGUCAUCUUCAACCUUGUCCGUCCGUUUGACGUUUUCGAAGAAAGAGGGAAGGGGAACAAAUGGUUUUCCGUUUCUUCGAACCAUUCGACUUCUUUUGAGAACAUUGAAUCCCUCACACCAGCCAAAAAAAAAAAAAAAAAAAAAAGGGAGAAAAAGAGAGAAAACACAAAAAUUCUAUUGCGAAUGAUUUCUUCGGACAAUCGUACUCAAAAUUCAUUCAUUUUGACUCAAACUGAUGAUUUCUUCGGACAUUUGGAUUUUAGUUCAAUCAAAAUUGCAAUAAGAUUAAAAAGAGAAUUUUUUCCGACCCCAAAUUAAAAUUGUAAUUUUAAAAAGAGGAUUUUUUCAGACCCCAAAUCAAAAUUGCAAUUUAAAAAGAGAAUUUCUUCGGAUCCCAAAUUUAAAUUGUAAUAAAUCAAAAAAAAAAUUUUCUUCGGAUCUCAAUUCCAAACAAAAUAAAUUUAAAGGUGUAUGCAAAGCAGCUCAUAUAGCCUUAACCCAAAUCUAGCCCAAAUCCAAUCCACUUAAAAAUAAGAUCCAAAAGCCAUAAAACCUAAACCCAUAAAAGCACAAAUUCAAUCAAAUCCAUCAUAAAAGCCCAAAUACAAUUUAAUUACCAUAAAUGCCCAAAUCCAAUCAACUCCACCAUAAAAGCCCAAAUUCAAUCUAGUCCACCAUAGAAGCCCAAAUCCAAUCUAGUCCACCAUCCAAGAGCCCAAAUCCAAUCUAGUCCACCAUCCAAGACCCCAAAUCCAAUCAAAUCCACAAAAACAACCAAGUCCAUAUCUAAUCCACUAUAAAAAUUUGAGCUCAAUCCAAUCUACCAUCCAAAAACCCAAAUCCAAUCAAGCGUAACCCAAUCUAACCCAAACUCAACUUCAAACAUGAACUUUUACCAUAAACCAAUUUUUUUUUUUUUUUUUUUCACGGAUUAUGAACCAAAUCCCAUACCCAAACCCUAUACACCAAUCUUAUGAACUAUGCCAAAACUUUACAAGCAAAAUCACACCCAAAUCUCAUACAUCAAGUUCUAUCACGAAGCCAACCUCGUCAUGGGUCUCGACCUUUUGCUCUACUACAUAUAACUAGAGUAAAAGUCAAAUCAAAUUCGACUAAUUCUAACACAUAUAUUUAAGGUCUAGUCAAUUUUUUGUUCUAGCGCAUAUAACUAAAGUGAAAGUCAAAUCAUCUGACUAACCCUAACACUUAUACUUAAAAGGGUAUAGUCAACCUUUUGCCCUAAUAUAUAUAAUUAGAGUGAAAGUCAAAUUAAAUUCAACUAAUCCUAGCAUAUAUACUUUGAAUCUAGUUAAUCUUUUACUCUAACACGUAUACCUAGACUAGAAGUCAAAUCAAGCCCGACUAGUCAUAAUAUAUAUAUUUAGAGUCUAGUUAGUCUUUUGCUCUAGCCUAUUUAUCUAGAAUGAAACCCAUAAAUAAUCAAACUCUAAUACAUACACUUAGAGUUCAUUAAAAUCAAAUCCAACGAACCCUAACGCAAUACCUUAGAGCUUAGUCAGAUUCUCACUUUAGCACAUAUAACUAGAGUGAAAAAUAUAUUAAACUCGGUUAAUUCUAAUACAUACACUUAAAAAUUAGUCACUCUUUACCUUCGGAUAACUUCAAACCCGACCUACCUCAAGACAUAUACUUGGGGUUUGGUCCAUCUUUACCUUAGCACAUACAACUGAGGUGAAAUCAAAUAUAAUUGGACUCUAAAACAUACUCUUACAACCAAUUAGACUCUAAUACAUAUAUUUAUAGUUUAAUAUCGACUAGGUCUUAUUACAUAUACUUAGGAUCUAGUCAACUUCAAAUUCAACUGAAUCCUAACAAAUACACUUAGAAUUCAGUCAAUCAUCAAGAUAUGAUUCAUUCCAUCCUCACUAUAAAAGUCUCCUAAUCAAAGGUAACCUAAUGGCAGGGGGUAAUUAAUAAUAGAUACUUGCGUCUAUUGGAAGCCAUGAAUUCGCAAUACCUGAUAUCCAUAUACAUAUAAUACUAAUCUGAAUCAUAAAUACUACCUCACGAAAAAUCCAAACAAAAAAAGAUCGACCAUGCGAGGUGUGUCAUUCGUGGUGGCAGACAAACAUUAAUAAGAAUAAUAACUACUAUUAGAACAAAGUUACUAUACUUUCGAAAGUACAAAGGAGUUUGUGCUUCCAACUUUUUGGAAGUUGGAUCAACUCUUUUGACCAUUUAUGAUAUUUGGAUUAAUAUUAUUAUCCUAGAGGGACCACUCAUCUUAGGAGAACCGGUUACAAGAUGAUCUAAAGUCCAGAAAAAAAGACUCUCUCCCGGUCGGUUUUGAUAGAUUGUUAACCCCGCUUCUUAGGUUUGGUCGAGGAUGGGUUCUUCCGGCUGUUGUGGUUUGACUUCCUUUUUCACUUUUUUUUGGUGGCUCCUUGAUUUUGAUGAUGGAUGAUCAUCGGGGGUGGACAUCUAUAUUCGGAACUAGCUCUGGUGAAAACUCGAUUGGCUCUUUCAAAGUGAGCAUAAAUCAACCAGCAGCAAAAGACGAUGACUCUUAGAAGAUAAGGCGACUACCUUAGACCUUGCUCGCAAAGAUUAUCCACCUUCAGCAGGUCAACAACUCCAUUCUGGUUCUGGGUGAGAGGGGUCAAGGUGGCAUGCCACCUCUUUGUGAAAAUGCCCCACCCCAGAUCUUUGCAUGUAGAUCUGGAGAUUACUGGUCGGAAGAUGCGUGGAAAGAGAGCGGCGGCUCCCUGCUGGAUCAGAAGAUCGAAAAGCACAUGAUUUUUUAAAGGAAAGGUCAAUAGCUACAAAUAGUGACUUCUCAACUGGCGAAAGCACCAAUUCCUUUACACUUUUGAAAGUAUAGUAGCUCUACACUUAUUAUUAUUAUUAUUAUAUUACUAUUACUAUUGAACAUUAUAAAAUAUUUUAAUGUAUCAUAUAUAUAAUAUAAAAUACUUUUAUAUUACUUUAAGUACCUUUAAUAAGCUAAGUAUAGAUAUCCCGGUCCGACUGAAAUAACUAUUCUUGCUAUUUUUUAGCUUCAUUUAGUUCGGAUAUAAGUAAGAAUUGCUUAUUUUAUGGAUAAAUACAAGUUCAUUAUAUAUAGAAACUAGAUCAAUUUUGCAUUUGGAUGCAAAUUGGGUUGUUCUGAAAAUAAUGUAGCAGUGUUUGAAUAGUUAGAUUAGUACACGGGGAAGAAGAGUUACAAUUUUAAAUUAAAAAUAUUUUAUCUAAUUAAUUAACAUAAAAAAUAUUAAUUAAAAAUAAUUUAGUAAACUAAUAAAUUUAUUAGCUAUGAAUAUUGUAUGAGAUAAUAAAAAUAUAUUAAUUAAUUAAUUGAAUACAAAAAUAAUUUAACUGUUUAAUUAGAUAGUAAAUUAUUUUAAUCAGAUAAUUAGUAAAGAAAUUAAUUAGAUUAUUCAAAAUACUAAUGGUUGAUCAAUAUAAAUACUAGUUUAUGAAUAAACACAUUAAAAUAUUAAUUUUAAUUAGCUAAUUAAUUAUCAUUAAUUAAUUAAUUAAUUAUUUAUUUAAGUAAUAGAUAAUGAUUUAGCUACAUUAAUUAAAUUAAUUAAUCAUUUAAUAUCAUAAUUAAAUUUAAAUUUAAAUUUAUUCUCACUUAAGAAAAAACUUGUUUCAGAAAAAAAGAGUGGAAAAAAGAUGAACAAUAGUUCCAGGCUUAGAACAAGAGGGUUCUAUCUCUAAGUUUUGAAUUAAGCAAGAAGAAUAAGAGAGCUUCUCCAAUCUUCAAUGUACCUCCCUUUAAAAGAGAAUCCUAGAGGGAAAAGACAAACUUUCAUACAUAAUAAAAAAAAACCUCUCAUAACAACUCAUUUAGCCUAAAUAAACCAAAAAGACUAAUAAAUAAAUUUGACAUUAAUUUAAUUUUUCUUUUCUUCUUCUUUCAACCAAACAACCUUAAUGAAAUAUUAUUUUUCUUUUCUGUAAAUCAAAUACUAAAGAGUGUAAAAUUUAUUUUUUUUGGAUUUUUUUUUUAUCAAAAACCAAACGUCCCCAUUAGCCAACUGUGCUUUUCUAGAAUGUAUUAAGCUUCAAUGAAUUUUCUUAUAUACGAGUUUUCCCGGGAAAAAAAAAAGUUAAACUCUUUAAAGCUAAAAAUUUUAGUUUAUAUAGUGUUUAGUACUAUAUAUUUCAGUUCUGUAAAUUAAAUUAUUGUCCUAUUACUUACAUUGAAUUAUACGGUUAUGUAUAAUAUUCUUGAUUUUUUCUUAAUCAUGUUCAUUACUUAUUAAUUAUACAAAUGUUUUAAAUAUAUUAUAAAUUAUGGAAGAUAGAGAUAAGGGCAAAGUUGUCAUUUCUAAUUAUUUCAAUCUACUUUUCUCACUAUUCUUCUCUUGUUUCAAAAAAUUAACCAAACAUCAUUUUACUUAUUCCAAUGAAUAAGCUGAUUUUAAACCAAACAACAAAUUACUUUUAUUUCUCUCCAUUCUAGAAUAAAGAGAUAUUCCAGGGACAAAAAUAAUUAAUCCUGAGAAUCUUAUUGUGCAGCCAAACGCAGCCUUAGAGUAAGCAUCUUAUCUAGUUAGAGUUUACACAAUUAUUUAGGUUAGGACACUUAGGGUACGUUUGUUUCAUCGAAGUUGAACUUUAGAUCGAAGUGAAAUUUGGUUGAAGUGGAGUUCGGUAAAAACUAUUUUUUUUCCGCUGUCUGUUUCAUAGUUUUGGAAGUGAAGCUUCAUUAGUUCUACCAUUUGUUUGGUAGAAAGUGUGUGAUGUAAAACUAUAAUUUAUAUAUAAAUAAUAAACAAUUUAAUAAAUAAAAAUAAUAUAAUUAUGUUUUUUAUAUAAUUAAAAUUUAAUUUAAAACAACUAAAUUAUUUUUUUAUACAUAAAUUAUAGUAAUACAACAAUAAAAUUAUAAAAUAAAAAAUAUUAAUACUUAAUUUAUCAAUUUUUAUCAUAUUUAAAUAUAACUAUUUUUACCUAGCAUAUUAUUUUAUUAUUUUUUUUACCUCUAUUCACCGUAAUUGACUUCGGCUCAUGAUGGGCCGAAGUCAAUUAUGCCGUUUCAAGUUAACUCGUUCCGACCGUAACUUUUUUACGGCGAACCAAACAACGAAAGUGAUAAUUGAUGACGAAAAGACUUUCUUUCUCUUCACUUCCACCCCAGUUCCAUCCAAACAAACAUGCCCUUAUAUGACAAGGUAUAUAAUAAGCAUAGGAUGAUCCGUUCAAACAAAUUAAUAAAAUCCUUCUCGAAAAGGUUAAUUUUCAUGUAGAUGAUGAAAUCUAAUCUAAUAUAGACAUUAUAAAAUAGAAAAAGUAAAAAAAUUUGCCAAAAUUAUGAUUUUACAUUGCCUCACUUUAUUUUAUAUAUAAAAAAUAACUCCAUAUUAUAAAAAUGAAAAUAAUCACGAUCUUAUAAUGGCUAAAAUAAAAAGAAAAAUGCUAACUCAAAAUAGAAUAUAAUUCUAUAUUAUCUUCAUUCAUUAGAAGGACUUCUUUUUUUUUUUCUUUUUAUUAAUUUUAUCGUAGGCCUCCGAUGCCGCCGAUGCCGCAAAAUCAUGAUCUUAUACAUGCAAAAAAAAAAAGAAAAAUGCUAACUCAAAAUAAAUUGUAAUUCUAUGCCAUCUUCAUUCAUUCAAAAGACUAUUUUUUUUUUUCUUCUUUUUAUUAUCUUAUCAUAAGAUUAUAUAUUUUUUUGUCGUAGAUUUUGACUGUCAUCUUCAUUCAUUGAAAUGACUAUAUUUUUUUUUUCUUCUUUUUAUUAUUUUAUCGUAAGAUUAUUUUUUUUUUGGUCGUAGAUUUUGACAUUUCUGAAAAUAAAAGCACACCGUACUUAUAACCGUAUUAGCCCACUUGUUCCCAAAUAUGGCAUGGAGUUCGACAAUGAUAUCCGCCUCCUAUGUCGCAAAAUCAUGAUCUUAUUCGUGCAAAAAUAAAAAGAAAAAUAAAAAGAAAAAUGCUAACUCAAAAUAGAUUGUAAUCCUACCCCAUCUUAUUUUUAUUAAUCUCAUUGUAAGAUUACAAUCUUUUCUGGUCGUAGACUUUGAUGUUUCUGAAAAUGAAAAGCACGUGGUACUUACGAAUUGAACCAUCUUCGCCCACUUGUUUCCAAGAAUGGAAUGGAGUUCGACAAUAAUCUCUGCCUCCUCCGGCGACAUCGGGUCUUUCCUCAAAUCCGGCCUCAGAUGAUUAAUCCAUCUGAGCCGACAACUUUUACCGCACCUCAAAAGCCCCGAAUUCUUCUGCACGACGUUCCAGUUCCCCUCUCCGUGCUUCGUCACGUACUCCGUCAAAAUCCUGUCUUCUUCGGCCGUCCAUGGUCCUUUUCUCAAAGCCACGACGACCGGUCCGUCGUUACUACAUUCCUUCUUCUUAGUUCUGAUCAUCUCAAUACACACUAUAUAUUGUUAGACUCUGUGAACGUCAGAAACUAACACUUGGAGAAAUAGAGCAUAUGAACUACCUCGAAGGCGCCAUCAACCAAAGCAGUACCGAUCAGUGUGAAAGAACCAAAAACGCUGAGAAACAAAGAGAAGAGAUAGAGAGAGAGAGACGAGUGACUAAUUAGCGAUACUCGUCUAAAUUCGCGCUAUAUACACGUAUACCUAUACUCUCUAUUAUAUAUAACUAUAACAAAUCAUCUUAAAUCUUUAAAAGAUAAAAGACGCUUCAAAACUUUUAAAAUAUCUUCUUUAUUUUUUAUUUUUUUUAUUUAAAAUAAUACCUCUGGUAUAAUUUUUUGUUAUUCAAAAAUAAUUCCACCGUUAGCUCAUCUCAGAUUAAAUCCGGAUUAAAUAUUUAUUAAAAGUUAAAAAAAGGUCAAAAUGCUUUUUUGGCUCUUAAUUUAAGGGUGCGUUUGGUUCGAGUUAUCCUGACAGGAUUACAGGCAAUCCUGCCAGGAUAACUGUGUUUGGUUAAUCCGCUAUGUAAUCUGGUCGUUAAUGUAGCAUUACAAAUCGAGCAGAAUUACAUCAAAAAUAUUAACGGGAGGGGGGUCGUGUAUCUUGCAUUACUAAAACCCGUUAAUACUACAUAUUAUGUAAAAUGACAAUUUUACCCUCCAACAAUCCCAAAUCUAACUAACAGUAUUAUUUUCAUCUCUCUCUCGCCUUCGUCCCGGCCCUCUCUCUCGCACGCCGCUUUUUCUCGCUCUCUCUCGACGUCUCUCUCUCUUUCUCUCUCUCGCGCACGAACACCUAUCAUCUUCUAUUGCGUCAUCCUCCCAAAUAAUCAUCACGAUCUCCUUCCCUCCAUUCGUCAUUUCCGCAAAAAACAAUAUUCAAAUGACUACAACAUGGGUAAUUUUGGAAAAAACUAUACUUUUAUGUCAGGAUUAUUAAAUUUUAUAAACUGAACCAAACAUAUUAAUGCUAUAAACACUGUAAUUUAGUAUUACAUUACUGUAUUAAACCAAACGCUCUAAUGCAGCAUUAGUAGUAAUCUCACGCCGAAAUCCAACAUACCUGAAUAUGUCGAGAUACUUUGUAAUAUUACAUAACUCGAACCAAACGAGCCCUAAGAGAAAAUAAAAUAAGUUGAUCAUGAUGGACGGAUAUAUUUAAAAAGAUAAAAAAUUAAAAUAUAUUUUUUUGUCGUUAAAAUAUUCUUUUGCUCUUAAUUUAAGGUAAAUAAGAAAAAUUCAUAACAGUAAAAGAGUAUAUUUGAAAGGUUAAAAAGGUAAUGUCAUAAAGAUAACAACAAUAAUAACUUAGAAGAGUCCGGCUGUGAUACUAUCGAUAGCAUUAAGCGUUUGGUGCUAUCAAGUUUUCCGCCGUUAGAUUUAACUCUUUGACUAUUUUCACCCGUUCGAUUAUACUAUUAAACUAAUAACUCACUCAACCCUAAAGGACCCACAUCAUCCUAACCGUAUAUUUUUUCAUCCAAAAGCAGAAAACCUAAUAGCAUCAAAUGCGUAGUGCUAUUGAUAGUAUUCCAGCCUAAGUCAAACUUAGAAUAUUAAAAAAAUAUUUUUAAUAUUAAAUUUUUAAAAGAGAUUAAUUAAAAAGUCGAAAAUAAUUGCCCCUAAAAGAUAAGUGGAUAUGGGUAAAUCUUGUGCUAUACUAUUCGAAUAAUUGAAGUUGCUUUUGUGCUUUCUUAAAUACUUCAAUUUUUAAACACAAAACAUUAAAAUUUGUCUCCAUUGGGAUUAUUGCCAUUUAUAUUUUUAAAACAUUAACUCCAUAUAAUUUAGAGUAAAUUGCACGUGUGGUCUCAAACUAUGAAAUACAUGACUUCUUAGUCUUCGCACUUUAAUUUAUUAUAAUUUUUGACUUAAAUUUUUAGAAUUAUCGUAAUUAAAUCUCAUAAUCCAAUUAAGUGAAUAAAUUUUAUAACGUAUCAUUGAUAUAAAAGUAGUGUGACAUCUUAAUUAUUAUCGUAUCAUUAAUUAUAAAACCAUUACAUCUUCUUCUUCUUUUACAUUAUUAAUAUAUUAAUAUUUAGUUAAUGAAAUUGGGAUAUAGGACUUGACCGUAAUAAUUUUAAAAGUUUGAGUAAAAAAAUUAUAAUAAACUAAAAUUUGAGUACCAAAAUGUCACCCUCCUCAUUGUUUGAAGACCAAAUUUGUAAUAUGUAAUAUAAUUUAAUAUAUAGGUAAAAAGAUUUUUUUUUUUUUGGUUAUAAUUGGUUUAGCUUACUGUCAUUCCAGGUCAAAGCGUAUAUGCUGAUUUACUGAAAAAAAAAAUGUCUAAAUUUUUAUUUUUUAUAGUCAAACAAAUAAUUUGAACUAAAGAAGUGCAAUUAAUUCAUUACCCAUUCAUUUCUUUAUUUUUAGAUUCAAUGCCUAUUCUCUAUAUUAUUUUAUGCUAGAAUUUAGAUUUUGAGUUACAUAAUCGGUAUCAGCGUGAAUAUCAGUUUCAGCAAUCUCUACAUAAUUCGAUAUUAAGCCUUAUUAUUUUUCUAGUGCAAUGUUAUAUUCACAAUUAUUUUUGGUUGUAAUCUUACAAUAUGUCCAUCCAAGGAUUAAAGUACCCAUCGGCACGGACCGUAUCCAACUUGCCGUACUGUGCCAGUAAGUUACCGGCACGAUACAGCCUUCGUAUCGAUGGUACAACUCAAAGUCCUCUAUUCUUAAAAUUACUAAGUAAUUUUAUUAUUAAAGUUCAAAAGAUUUGAUAAAAAUACAUAAUAAAUAAUUGACAUAUUUUAUUUGCUAAAGAAAAUAAAUAUUUCAUGUCUUUACGUGUUCGCGCACAUAAAUUUUUUGUGACUGGCACGCAUCGGCACGGUGCAGUACCAUGCCGGCAAGUUUUCGGCACGAUCUCGUGUCACGACACUUAAAUCUUUGUGUUCAUCCAUAAACUAAAAUUUUUUAACUUGUCUUUUCACUCCCUAUUUUUAAUAACAAUUUUUUUAAAAAAAUUAUUACAGUAGGGGGAUGGGUUUAAACACUUAGAUGGAGGAUUUGUAAACCUUAUUGUUGAAGAACUAACUUUUUUCGGAAAAGAUGUACUUGUUUCCUUUUAUUAUUAUUUUUAAUAAAACUUAAGUGAAUUAUGAUUCGUCAUUACACUAGAGUUAAGCUCCUACACUUUUAAAAAUACUGAAGCAUUUUGUGUUUAUAACUUUGUAACCAUCGGAUCGUCUCAAGAUCCGUAUAGUAUUAUUAACGAUAUAUCUCAUUUAAGUUUUUUUUAUUAAUACUAUAUGAAUCGUGAGGCAAUCCGAUGGCUAAAAAAUCACAAGCAAAUUGAGCUCCUCAGCUUUCAAAAACAUAGGAGCUCAACUCUCAUUUACUAUUACUUGAUUAAUUUUCUAUUACAAAUUUUGGAUCGUAUAUAUUAAAUGAGGUAUUGUAUAUAAUUAAGUCAUUUGAAAUAAAUAGUACAUUCAAAAUCUAAAUUGGAAGGGCAUAAUUAAAAAAAUCAGAUAGUAAAAUUAGAUUGUUAUUUCAAAAUGAAAUAUCUAAAAUUUUUAACUAUUUUGAUUUAGUUUUAUUAUUUUUCAAAAGGUCUUUUUAAACAAGUAUAAUCCAUAAGACAUAUUGUGCCCUGUGAGAUGAUAAAGAGUCAAAUUAGGAGAUAAUCAUAAUUUUGGAUUAAAAUGAUACUUUAAAAAAUAUGUACACGUCCCUAUCAUAUGUAUAACCUACGAUUUUAAAACUUAAAAAAAGAUAGAGAAAAAAAUAUGUACACGUCCCUAUUAUCUUUUUACUCUAUUUUGAAUGCUGAAUUGGAUUAGGACUUCGUUUGGAUGUGGGAUUGCGAGUACUCUUUAUUUUUUUGCUCUAUCUUGAACGUUGAAUUGAAUUAAGGCUUAGUUUGGUAUUGAGGCCUAUCAAACGUUAUUAAAUAAAAUAAAGUUGAGAAAAAAGCAUAAACGAAUAUGCUUUUGCGUUCUCCGUUGGGACCGCAGAAAAUAUAUCCCCGCACGUAACGUAAUCUCUUCGCAAUCCCAAACGAAGCCUAAGUCUUCCUUUAGAAUUGCGAAAGAUUGCGUUACGUGUGGAUAGAGAGUCGGUUAUGAUAUUUUUUUUAAUUUUUAUUUUAUCAAUAUUUUAUCUAUUAGCUUUGGAUGAGCUUCAAUAUCAAACAAAGCCAAAAUAAAAUUAUUUGGCCAAAUCAAUUUUUAAAGAACUUACUUGUCGAUCCGGCUCAAUAUAGGUUGGUUGAAUCCCUAAUCCGUCGUCCCCGCCCGCCCCCCCUCCUCCCUUUCCGUUCCGUCUCUGUGCAUAUUUCACUGCCGCGGCAGACGGACAUAAGGCGAGUGUAAUCGCAGAGGGAGGGAAGGGCAGACGGACUUAGGGAGAGAGGGAGAGAGAGGGAUGUCGUUCAUGCGGGGGGAUCUGCUGACGCGGAUGCGGAAGCUGGUGAAGGGCCUCGCCAGGCCCGCCCCUGCCUGGCUCAAAGCCAUGGAACAGUAACGCCCGCCUUCCUCUCUAAUUCUCGAUUUGUAAACAGAACAGACACACACACACAACUGGUUCUAGGGUUUUAUGACUGACUGCACCUCGGAUCACAAUCAGGGCGCCGCCUGUCACCUUCCCGCGGACCGACGGCAAGAUCAAGAGGAUCGAGCUGCCGGAGGACGUUUACAUCAAGCGCUUCUACAAGAAGCACCCCGAUUCCUUGUAUCACGACCCCGUCAAGUAAUCUCCUCCUCCUCUUCUUCUUCUUCUAUUGACGCCGUAGUUCGCAGACUUUAAUACGUUGCAAUUUCUGGUUCAAGCUUUCUGAAUUGUUGCUGAUGUGCUAGUAAUGUGGCAUUUUAUUAGUUCUGACGUUUUCAUUACAACACUGCCGACGCUGCUGCUGCCACGUUAGCGAUGCAUCAUUAUUUAACCAACUGAAUUAGACUGCGGCACUUCAUUGCAACAAUUCAAAAAAUUUGAGCCAGGAAUUGUAACAAAUUAAAGCCAUUUGAGGACUCAAGCGUACUCGUGCACCUCAAAAGUUUGAAGACCAAAAAUGCAAUUUAACCCUUUUCUUAUAUGCGUUGUUGUUUCUCAAAUUGCGAAUUUCUGCGAAUAUCCGAGAUUUUGCGUGUUGCAGUUGUUGAUUGAUAUUGUUUAUGUUACAGUUUUACUGGAUUUUUUUUUUUUUUUUUUUUUUUUUUGAGUUGUUUGUUUGCUCUUUGUUUGGAGAGAAUGUAAUGUCUUCAUCCUCAAUAUAAUUUACAAGGAGAAAAUUUUGUUAGUUUUGAAAUGGUUAAGUUGUUUGAGAUUUUGAAAAGCAAGGAUUGCUGGCGACAAGACUUUUUCCGCCGUUUGUUUCUUCUUUAUCUCUUAAUAGCGUGAUUUUGCUUUUUAUAUCCUCGCAUUGUUGCUAUUUAAUUUGUUUUCGUAAUCUAAACUCUAAUUGGAAUAUCGGAUAUCCAUUUUCAACAGGAUAAGUGGGUUCGAUCCGCCUCCUUCGCGAGUUUUCGCUUGGCGUGUGUUGGAGCUGAAAGGGCAGGGAGUCAACGAAGAUGAAGCUAUGGCUGUAGCUGAUGUUAGUAGCACGCGCCGUUCUAUACUAUAAAGCUAUCAUUUUAUUCACACUGCUCGCGCACCUUUCUCUAUACUAAGCACACCUUUCCGCUUUAACUUCAGAUGGAAUAUCUCGCCGAGAAGAGAGCGAAGAAGAAGGCGUACAAAGAACUGAAGCAAAUCGCACGCCUCCAGGGGAAGAAGCCGCCUCCGAACCCAUACCCAAGCGCCAUCAAAGAAAUACAGGCGGAGGAGAAGAAGUUUGUCAGAGAUCGUUUCUUCAAUCCGAAGGUGCUCGAGAUUGUGGAAAAGAUGAAAGAAGAGAAAGCUGCCAGGAUGCUAGAGCAACAGCGAGAAGCCGGCGGUGGUGGUCCGCCACGUAGUCGAGCUUGGUGAAUUCAAUCGUCUGGUAUUUGAACCGAACUGUUCUUUAAAUGCCUGAAAAUUUGAAUGAAAAUCAUGAGAUAUUUUCUAUGUUAUAUUUUUGCAAUAAAAGAAAUGUUGUUGCAUAGGGGAGUUCUUAUAUUAUUGUUUUCUAUUUAAACUUGGCAUGUACAAUGUAGCAUUCCAAUCUUCUUGUAUUAGUAAGCUAUGCGCAUGUCUAUCUAUGAAGCAUCGGAAUCAAUGACGUACAUGUUUGCCGCAAUAUUGAUAUAACAAACGAGACAAAUUUUAAAGUGUUGCUUGUGCGUAAUAGAUAGUAUCAAUUUAUUUGGGGGCAUGCACAAAUCUCGCUGUCCAACAGAAAUGUAACUUUUAGGUCGAUGAAAUCCUAUGAUUUCAAUGAUUUCGCCGACUUGACAGUUAAUUUCAGGGUAGACUUUUCUAGCUUACUAUCUGUCAUUGAUGGUUUCAAAUGCAACGACUGGCGUCUUCUUUACGAGUAACAUUAUUGUUAGUGAUGCCAACAAACAUUUGACAGUUCUGGAUAUAAUAGAUUGGCAGUCUGCAGUGAUUAUAUGGUUAUAAUAUUUUGCUAGCUUAAGAUCCAUAGAAAGCUUAGAAGAAGCAGCACAGCAGAUGAUGCUUAACCAAAAUGAGAAACUAGAGUCUUUUAACAAAGGACAUUAUGUUGGCAAGGGGAUUAAGAAGUUACAGAUGGUGCUACCAGGGCAUGCGACAUUAUUAUUUUUGAGAAAUUAGUGAAAAAGUAGGCAAGUGAUACCCUGGCAAAUGUUAAAUUUAUCAAUGUACGACCGAAGUUUCUAUACAACAUGAUUAAGCUAUCAACGACUAUGAUUUUUUUCUUUUAUUUUUGAUUUCGUUCGCAUAUCCCUGUGAUGAAAUGUUUAGUAAUCUGAACUUCAACCAAAACUGUGAAUGAAUGGUGCUCCCUCAUAAGCAUGCUUUUGAGGUUGAGGAACCAAGAUUUCACGAUUUGUGGAUAUCUGGCAUUCUGAGGGAUAUUUUUAAGUCUAGUAAGUAAUAAGUCUCUUAAUUUCCUCCAUUUUUUUGGCCUCUAUAUUGCUCGCUCUUCCUUUUUGUUUUUCUUUGCUUGAAGUUGUAUUCUAGUCUUUUUAUUGUCCGCUGCUUUAUCUAUUUGGGUUAAUUAGAAUUCCCUCUAACAUCUGUAUGCAUACAAUUUAAUCUUGUUGAACAUCUGCAGUGUACCAAACCAGAAUUGUUUUUUAUCAAAUUGGUGUACACCACCUAAGUUUUUCACCAUAAUGACCUUUUUUCUUCUAAUUGUUCAUUCUGGGAAGUACCCUUUUUCUGCGUGCAUACAAGGAAACAGCUGUAAUCCUCUUAUUCAUGUUUCUUAUGUCUCCGAGUUGCAAGUAAAUAGGUAAGGAAUGAGAACUCUUAUUAUUGUCUUCUUAGAACAUUAAUAAUUAAUUAAGGUGGCUAACGUGAUCAGAAAAGGCAGAACUUUCAUAUUAGUGAUACAAUAUGCACAAGAGUAUCUGAAGUAAAACAUGGGGGGUGGUAAGUUCAUCAAAGUGCAAUUCGUAUGUUGUUUCUUAACUCUCUACUGAUAAAAGUAAGUUUAAAGAAAAAGAUGAGAAAAAGCCUUUGUUCUGAAAGUUGCGCAUACUUCUCUCUGUUUCUUCAGAAAGCUGUUUUUUUCUUUUCUUUUUCCCAACAUCAGUUAUUCUAUUACUUGGAGUAUUGUGAAGUAAUGUAUAUUGAAUGUAUACAUUCUUUUAAAUUUACAAUUCCUGAAUAGUGAUUAUUGAGUUUGCCGCAUCAACUUGUCGGUGUAAUCUGAGUGAUAAUCCGGAUCCUGGACAAAUUUUAUGGUUGCUGUAUUUAUUUCCAACCAGCAAUUACAAUGCGAGCAAAAGUGGCACUGGGGACAGAAGAGAUUCAGUGAAGCAAUGUGGAUGUUUGUGGAAGUGCAAGAAUAUAUUCAGCCAGAAAUAUGUCUCUGAUGUACUUUUCCUUUUUGUCAGUUAUAUGUUGAAAACCAUUCCCUUUCAUUUAAAAAAAGAUGAAAUAUGAUCUUGUGAUUUCCUUAGAAUAAUUUUGAUACAACUGCAGCGAUAACUGCACGCAAGUUAGACAUAAAGCGUUAUCUUGUGGUUUCCUGCAAAGUAGGUAUUUGUGUGUGUCCUUGAAAACCUUACUUGUAUGUGUGCAAUGUGCAUGGUCAUAGAAAUUAGCAAACAUUUUGGAGGUAAAUGUCCAAAAACCAAUUUCAGUAGUGUAACUGUCCAAUUUCACAUAGUUGCAGGGAGUAUAUUUGCAGUAUAUGUAGUGGUGCAAAACAGUAGCUUACAAUAUUUGGUGGUGGGAAAUGAAUUUUAAGAGGUAGUUAGGUAGCUGGAUACAAGUGAUUGUGUUUAGGAGUUUUUGGACUACAACAAAAUUGUUGCUAGGGCUGGCAAUCCAGCUCGCUGCGCAUGAGUCAACUCGAAAUGAGCUCAAGAUCGAUCGCUUGUUUAAUAAACAAGAGCCGAACAUGAGUUAAAUUUUUCAGCUCGAAAUUUUAACAAGUCGAAAACUAGCUAGAGUCAACUCCCACGUGGUCAGCUUGAUAUAGUUCGAAUAUAUAUAUAUAUAUAUAUAUAUAGAGAGAGAGAGAGAGAGAGAGAGAGAUUAUAUUUUGUGAAUACCAAUUGUAUCCUAAUUUUCUUUUAACUUUCAUCAAGUAGUAGGGCUCGUGUUCGGCUUGCUAAUAAAUAAGCAGAGCAUUUUUUUUUUGUUUGGCUCGUUUAAUCGGCACCUCGACAGGUUGUUACUAUUAAAAGAAAAAAAAGAGGAAAAAAAACUGAUAUUAUUGCCGAAGGUGUAGGUCCUUGAAUUGUGCAUUAUGUGCAUGCAUUUCUUUUUUUCACAUUAACUCUGCUGCUGCAGUACAACAGGGGUAGCAAAUUUUAAUUAAUAAUCCCAACUUCCCACAAUCUUUGAUGCUUACAAGUUGCUGAUCAAGAAUUUUUGUGGCAUAAAGUAAAGUCGUGCUGGGUAUUUACCAGCACAGUACAGCAUAGCGUUUUGCUUAGCGUAUCAAUGUGUAUUGUUGACAAAUAUAACUGCGUAUAUACUUUGGUACAAAAUAUAUAUAUUUUUUGGCACCAAUAUAUUCUUAAUAAUUAAAAAAAAACAAAAGAAAAAAAAAUCAAUCAUUGGUUGAGCUCCGAUUCCCACCUUUGCUGUGUAAUCUGUAGGGUUCUGCCACAUAUCACCUCAUUGAGUUUUCAGCAAAAAUCAUGACAAGAAAACAAUUUAUAUGAACCUUGUUUACUAAAAAUUUGUCCAAAGAGUCUCAAAAUGCAACAUAAACUGUUGAAAAACUGUAGUUCUUUUACAAGCUUGGAUAAAUGAGGUAUAGCCAAUCACUAUAUACCUAAAGAAUAACUUACUCCCGAGGAGGGAAUUUGUGACCAUUAAAACAAAGAUUUCGAUAUAGAAAAGAAAUAUCAAUGAAACAAAACUAUGAUUGUGUUAGUAAUUCAACUAAUUUUGCUUCUGUCACUAAAUUUGAGGAAUCUAAACUGCGAACGGGUCGAUUUUAGACCUCCUCAACUGCUUUUGAGUCUGAACUGCUGACAGGCUUCUGCAAUCUUUCUACAACCGGAUAGCUUCGACGUUCCUUCCCCCCGGGUUUUGCCGAGGCGUUGCCGUACCAAACCAUUCCUAUAACAGCUAGGAUCAUGCCGAGAACUACGUGAAAGUUGAGACCCUCCUUUCCGAAGAAGGUGAAUCCGAGGAUCAACACGAGUAUCGUCUUCAUGUGACCUAUCACCUGGAAAGACACCGCCGAGAAUCGACCUAUGCAUAUGAAUUGGCUCAGGUUGGUUCCAACCGCUAUCGAGCAUGACGAGAUUAUGAAAAGCUGCAGAGCGGAAAGUAGAGAAUUUCGAUGAGACAAUAACUCGUAUAUAUUUUCUACCGUUCAGUCGUGAUUAAUCUUAGAAAGCCAAUGGUGUUCAUAUUAGUAAAAUCUCAUGUAAACGAGAAAACGAAGAAGCAGCACAUUACGUAACAAGAUUGCGAAGGUGUAGCAGCAUUUGUACUAUCUUUCGAUUUUCAAAUCAUCACAUACUUCUUAAAAUGCAGGGUCAGUAGUUACCACAGAAGGCACAGUGUAGUUGAACGCGUCCACCCGUUUGCUGGUCAACCAGAAAUCCAUGAAAGGCCCUACUAGCAGAAGAGAUGCUGCCUGGCCAGGAGCAGUGUGGCUCAAGAGGUUGAAGGACGUAAGCGAAUACUUCCGUUGAAGAAAAUGAACAUACUGCGUUGAAAAGCAAUAUUUAAAUUACAACACAACGGAGCAAUGCUAAAAGCUAGGAGGGCUUUUUCUUGUUGAGUAUUUGAUGCCGACUUAUUUCAUUCCACAGGCAGUGAAAAUUUCAAUUUACUUGUACCAAGCCACUGUAGCAUCUGAUUUUGCCACUUAGCGCUACACCCUUCAUUUAAACAACGAUAAAUUGUUUCUAAGUAAAAACUAUGUUUCUUGUGGUCAGGAACGGAACUUGCGAUAUACGAAGUAAGAAAAGAAAUCAAGGACUAAAGUACUUGAGUAAAAGCUUCAGAGAAUUAAGUCGCGAAAUUGGAAGAGCCUUUUGUAAACUUACAUAUUGUUGCAAAGAAGUGCUCCAAACUGCUAUAGUUGCUGCUAAUACACCUCUAGCAUUGACGCUCACGUCGGUGACCGUACAAACUGCAACACCUACGAGAACCACCACUAUACUGAGCUUUGUGUCCCGAGAAUAACGGACCUUAUCCAACAAAACUUCUAGGAGACAAGAUACUGGUAUCAUACAGAGCUUCGUUAUCUGGAGACCACGGAAUAGCACGGAAAUUUAAAAAAAAAAAAACUCAUCACUCAACCAAACUAUUAAGAAAUAGUGCAUAAGAUCCAUAAUCGACCUGAUAAAACCCCACGGAAUUCCACAUCAGACUGACGUUCAUGCCGACAAUUGACAAGUUCGCACAAAUGACGAACUUGAUGAGUUCAGGUACAGGUAAGUGGGAGGGCUGAACAAGUCCCAACCACCUUAGAACAAUUGUCAUAAUAGUCGUGGUUGCAAAAUGCAGGCCAGUUAGUGAUGUCGCUGUAAAACAUAAUCACGAAAACAGCACCAAAAUCAGGAAUGCUUUUUUGAAUGGAUCAAAAUCACACUUCUUAGCUGUAUCAGAUUAAUAAAAUUUCUGCAAUAUAUAGUAAGAAAACAAACAUAAGGGGGGCAAGUAUACCCGCAAAUCUUACAGGUUCUCGCAGAUCUGAAUAUUUGCAAAUUUUCGGUUUUCAUAUACAGUAAAAUGAUUUUUAAAUUAAAUGUGCAAUGAAAUGGAUCCAAAUGAUGAUAGAUGGGCCGGCAGGUGCGAAACAUACAGAUACAGAACGCAAACAUUGACACUGUAUCUUUACUAACAGUAUAAGAUAUGCAGCCUCGUCGUGUAUAACCCGAAGAAAGAGCAAAGUACAUGGGUGAGAAUGUUUUAACACGGCGAGUCCUUAGAAAGAUGAGAAAGGCCUUACUACUACCUAUUGAAAUUCCGCAUGCUGAAAGUCUAUGACACGAUAAAUGCAACAGAAAGGAUGCGAAGAAGAUUGCACUCCCAGUCAGAAAAUUCAAAAAUCAAGUAGUAGAUUAAGUGGUUGUAACAAAUCUAAUUAUAUAUCGCCAUAGAAUACAUUUCGAAGGAAAUGAAUUUUGGGUAAGUGAUUCUCAUUGUGCCUCUGCAUGAGUCGAACGUUGAUCUAAUACUUGUACUACCAUACCUAAUAAAUUAAAGACAAAAGAAAAGUUUUAAACUGUAAAUGUACAUAAAGAAGUUAUCGCAAACUCACAGUGUGAACCAAACCCCGCAAAUGUAAGAGAUUAAGCAUGUAGCAGAAAUAAUCAACUCAAAGCUCGUUAUAGCCUUUUUUAUACUUACCAAAACUGAAGCCAUAGGUGGCCAUUAAAGCUUUGUUCACCAUAAUUAUUCCAACAGAAGUCACUAUGUUGAACAUCCAUGCCGCAACAUCUAAAGCAGCUUUCCUGUCAGCUUUGCUUGAAGUCAUCUCUUCUUUCACAAAGUUCAGUUCCGCAGGCGCUUAAAGAUGUGUUCUACUUACUUACCAUCUCCGAUCUCGGAAGCUUCUAUUUCACACCAGAGAAAAUCAAAUUUCAUUAUUUAGCUCUUAUCAAAACAAGAGAUGAAUCAAAUGAUGGAAGUAUAGAAUGAUGUAUCAAAAAGAAUGAGAACAAAGUUAUCCAUCCACAAAACUAAUAUUGUUUAAUUUGUCGUAUUCUGUCUAUAGGCAUAAAACUGUAUUUACUGCGCAUCCUAAAAGAUCGUAUUUAAUGUCGCCUCAAGCUUAAAUUUAUGAAACUAACAAACAAUUCGAUAUCAUAUUGUCGGUGAUCUCAAACUCUAUGUUGUAAUGCUUAGCCUGUGAUGCAAUCCAGAAGUACAGAACCAGCUUAUAGAUAUUUUACUGGAAAAGUCCAGAAAAUCGCAAUAGAAGUUUAUGUCAAAAUUUCCAUCUCAGCAGAUUCUAACGUAAAUUUGACCGUGCUUUUGGAUUUUAAUUGAAAAAUAUCCUAAUUAUUCCAAUUGGAACUAAAUGAGGAACCAUUAGGGACCAUUUACAGAAUCCUAAAAGAAUUUGAAUGUGGUCCUGAUUCGAUAUAUCAGGUUCAAAUUGGAGCUUCCAUUCUCUAAUAGUUGAGGAAUUCGGUCUAGUUGCUUUUUCAUAUAUCAUAUUUCUGCAAAAAAUUAACAAGAAACCAUCCACAACGGCAAUUCUCUCCACCGGAGAAGCAUACCUGAACCCUCUAAAAUGCUGUACAGUUGAUCGGCAUAUCGCAUAAGGAAAGAAAACGGAAACAAACACAAAAGCAUGCUUUCACUGUAUCCAUUUUUGCUUUCUCUUUUCUGUUUACAGUUAUCAAAAAUCAUUGUAUUAUCAGUAGAAGAGCGACUCGCUAAAACGAAAUACAAGUUGCACAAAUCCAUGGUGUCAAAAAAGGGCCAUGUCAUUUGACAUCAACUGUGACAUAUAUGUUCUCUAGAAAACCUAAAAGAAUAGCCAAAUCAUCAUAAUCUGACAGGAGUAAAUUCACAUUAACAGCUCUUUGCGUGUUUUUAACCUUUGGCUUGUUAGUUUAGUAGGAUUAUGAAAUACUUGAACUUGAAUUAGCCCAUGCGAAAACAUUUAGAAGGAGCAGCAAUUCAUUCAAAGUAAAAAAAUCUUAUCUAGUAGAUUGUGUGUGACAAAUCAACUUAGAAGCUUCAUUGCAUCACUGAACACUUCGAAAAAACUCUACCCAUUAACUGAUGUUGCUGUGACCGAAAAUUAAUAACUAACAUAAAGCAUUCAACUCAAUCAAAAGAUUGAAACUGAGAAUUCCAACUUCCAAAUGGAGUAGAAUUCGGCUCUAAAUUACUUCCAACGGAUAGUUUUAAAGAAGUGAAACUCCAAAUGUCACAAUUUUUGUUCUGAAAUUUAGAAUGUUGGAUCUGCAGAAACAACAAUAUAGAAGACAUCAAAUUUGAUGGCUUCGCCAUAAAAUUAUGAAAUUCUGACUAAAAUGAGAUCAAAUGAUGCAAGAUGCACGAAAAUGUUAGUGUCGUAUACAAAAUCAACCAUCUAUGUAGAUCUACCUACCAAAAGUAUAGAACUUAUUUGCACACUCUUACGCUUUGUUUGAACACAUGAACAUCUUAUUCAAUGUAUCUCUUAAUUUGUUGAGGAAUGUGAUCAAAUGUGUAAACUGGAAUAUCAUAUUCAAACUUCACCUACUGAAUCAUGAUCGCCGAGACCUCGUAGGCCUUGUUUUGAUGUCGGAAUAAGUUAUCCUAUGAUAACUUAUUCGAUAUAAAAAUUUCCUUAUGUAUAAUUUGGUAGGAUAGUAUAGUUCACCUACGAAAAAAAUUUAUCUUCUUUCGGAAAAAUAACUUUUCAAGAUGAAUAUACUAUUCCAUUCUAGACAUUUGAUCGCUUCUAUUUUCCAACUACUGGUAAAAAAAAAAAAAAUCUCAUUCCAAUCACACAAGAAAAUUUUGAUGUACAAACUCAAUGCAUAAAUCUUUUUGAUGUCCUCGGCAUCUUCCAAGUAGUUAGCAACUUCGCAGCAAACUAAAUGACAUUCUCAAACACUAUUUUCCAGUUCAUAACAUCAUAUAUGCAUCAUCAUCAUCAUCAUCAUCAUCAUCAUCAUCGUCAAAAAAAAAAAAAACAAAAAAAACUUCUUUUCACCCAUUAAUAUCAUAAAAAAACGCAGAAAAUUUAGAAAAAAAAGGGUGAGAAUCAGGAAUUACAUGGCAGAAGGAGACGAUCCGUAGCGAAGAGCUUCGGAUUUUUAAGGGAGCUUUUCUUGUAAAUAAAAAAAAAAAAAUUCUUUUGGGAUUUGGCUCUUCUCCGUGAUCCCAAACUCUGCUUGUAUUUAUCUACAUGAUUUCAUCUAGAGAUAUAUAUAUAUAUACAUGCACAUAUUCAUAACGAGAUAUAUAUUCAUAACGAGAUCUGGAUAUAUAUAUAUAGAGGGAAUCUCCGUUGUAUAAACUAUAGGAUCUGAGAAUAUUUAAUCCUUUUAAUUGCGCAAGGAAUACUCAACUUUUAAGCACGGAUUCAUUUUUGGUCCACCAAGGCUAAAUUUCACUUUCGCACUUGAAUCUUAAUUUAUUGCAAUUUCUAGUUUAAAUUUUCUAAAUUAUUAUAGGGAAAACUUCAAAUACCCCCAUAUGGUUUCACGCUUUCUCACUUUAGUAACCUGCGGUUUAAAGUGUAUCAAGUUAGCCCCUGUGGUUUCGCACUUUCUCACUUUAGUAUCCUGUGGUUUAAAGUGUAUCACGUUAGUACCAUGUGGUUUCAUUUUUCUCUUUUCGUCCGCUCCUCUAUUAAUAUUUUGUGAUAUUAUAUAAAAAAACUUUAGAUACCCUACCUAGUUUUAUCGAAUAUUUACUUUAGUAUCCUUUAGUUUUAACUUUAUUACUGAUUUUUUUUUCCUCUGUUAUUAUUUUGUUAAAUUAUAUACAAAAAACUUCAUAUACCCUAUCUAGGUUUAUCGAAUAUUUACUUUAGUACCCUUUAGUUUUAACUUUGUCACCAAUUUAACAAAAAAUUAGUGAAAUGGGUAAUAAAAAGAGAAAAAUAAAAUCAUAGAUACUAAUUUGAUACACUUUAUAUAAAAAUGAGAAAGUGCGAAACUAUAGGGGGUAUAUGAAGUUUUCCCAUUAUUAUAAUCUGGUACAUAAUUUAAUUUUGUUGAUUAAAUAUUAAUAUGCUGCUAAUACGAAAGUGAUGUAACAGUGUUGUAAUUAAUAUCAAAAUAAUGAUUAGGAUGUUACGUCAUUUUUUUUUAUUACCGAUUCAUCAAUAUUUAAUCAAAAUUGAAAAUUAAAUUAUGAGACUUAAAUAUAAUUUAUAAAGUUUGAGAUUGAAAUUGAAAUUGUAAUAAAUUAUUGUUUGGGGAUUAAAAUGUUAUAACUUGCAACGUUUAACGUGUUUGAUUAGAGCAUCCCACAUGAAUUAUGUGACACAUCUCCUACAUCUCUAUCGAAACAUUUUUGUGAAAAUUAAGUAAAGCUAUGGAAUGUUUCAAAUUAAACAAAUUAAAGAAACAGAUCAAAAAUCAAAAGUUGUAAAGUUUCAUACAUUAUCAGUUUAACUUUGGUAAAAAUAUAUAGAACUUAUUUUAAAUAUAGACUAUUUUAAGUUGGCUAUAUUACUUUUCAACUUUUGAAUUUGGGGGUAAAUUGUACAUUUCGUCUUCAAAUUAUGAGUUGGGUGAUAUUUUGGUGCUCAAAUUUUAAUUUAUUGUAAUUUCUAGCUCGAAUUUUUAAAAUUGUUGCAAAUAAGUUUUAUAACUUAAUUUAGUUGAGUAAAUAUUGAUGUAUUGCUAACACGAAAGUGAUGUAACGGUGUUGUGAUUGAUGACAUACAGAUAAUUAAGAUGUUACAUCACUUUUAUAUUAACCAUACGUCAAUAUUUAGACAACUAAAUUGAACUGUAUAUCUUAAUUGCAAUAAUUCUGAAAGCUUGAACAAUAAAUUACAAUAAAUUAAAGUUUGACGACUAAAGUGUCAUGCACCUCAUAGUUUGAGGACCAAAUGUGCAAUUCAACUUAUUUACCAUCCAACCUUUCAAUUUGUUUGAUUUGAAUCGGUCAACGAUACUUCGAUUUCAAAUUUUGAAUACGUCGUUUAUCUUUACAAGUUAAAUAUAUUUUAUCCGAUUCCCGCAACCAUAAUUAAGUAUAUUUUAUAUGAUUCCCGCAACUAUAACUUCAUUAACAUAAUUAAAUUAGUUUAAAUUUUAAAGUCAAAAUACUGUUGGCUGACUCAAAUCAAACAAAUUAAAAAUUGAGUAGUAAAACCAAAAUUUUUAAAGUUUGGGUAAUCAAUUUAAAAUAAUCUACAAAUAAAUUAUGUACAUUUUUUACUUUUAUUUUUCACGAUCGUAAAAAUGGAUUUAUAUAUAUGGAAUAAAUUUUAAUUUGCCCCCUAUCAUAUGGCAUUUUGUUGGUUAGUUGUCCUAUAGUUUGGUAUAUUCUAUCUAAUACAAAACAAAAUUAUAUUGUAUUCCAUCUAUUCUAAUCUUUUUUUUUUAAAAAAAAAUUGUUUCACUUAAAAAGGCUUGCAAAUCAAGAAAUUAUAUUUAUAGGUAUUUACUGUUAGAAUAUACAAGUUUGUACAUUAUCUAAAAUCUUAUAUCUUAACUUGAUAUAACAAUCUUUUGUAGUGUCACCAAUAUAUAAACUUUAUUAACUUAUCUAUAAUCUUAAUAUCUUAUUCAUCAUUAUUUUCAAUCAAAGCUCAGAAUCUGAGAAAAAUAAAGAAGAACGAAGCUAGAAUAUUUCUAGAAGAAAAAUAAGAAUCAAUUAUCAAUUAGUAGUAUUAAAUUUGAUCUUAGACUAUUUGAAUUUAUUAUAAAAUAGACUAUUUUUAAUGGCUAAUAUAAGAUGAAUUUGUGAUCAUUUGAUCACUAAGCAAAUAAUGUUGAAAAAUUGCAAAAUUUGUGUCCGAUAAAGUUCAAUAGUCUAGAUAAUGUUUAACAGUGUGAUCAUUGAAUCAGAUGCCCUUUUGUCGAAAUGGCAUAGAAGUAAUGCUUUCGUUUACUUUCGAUAGUAUUUCGUGUACUUUGAUAGCCUUUAGGGACGAUUACGUUGUAUACAACUGUAACUGUAUUGUAAUUUACUGCAUAUAGAUUCAAAUCUGACGUUUAUUUUGAUGCACUUGAAUUCACUUGUUAUAGUUGUAACUGCACGAGGACGCUCGAUUGCAGCACCAGGAGAGAGUAAUUUUAAAUAAGAAUAAACUUACCUCCCUAAAAACUUUUUUUAAAAAAAUUUUCUUUUUCCCUUUCCUACGCAGGGGUAAUCUCACCACCCUGUAUAUAAAAUGAUAUAAGUUUGUAAAUGCACUUCUCAACUGAAUGCAAUAGGGGUCGUUUGGUUGCAUGUAGUUAUAACUAUACUGUAGUUGUAAUUGCAUACAAAUGCAAAUUCAGUAUAUGGUUUGAUAUAUUUAACUACAACUACUGUAAUAAGAACUGCAAUAGUCGGAACUACGCCCAAAUUGACCGCAUUUCCAACUGUAAGCAAUAAGAUACGCUUACCUCCUUAACAUUUUUUUUUUCUUUUUUUACAUUAGAGGUAAUCUCACCAUCAUAUAUAUAAAAUGAUAAACUUUUGAAAAUCAUUUCUCAACUAUAUGCAACCAAACAAAUUGUUUAUAGUUGCAACGUUUUCUACCACAUCCAACCAAAGAGAAUGUAUAUAGUUGCAACUGUUGUAUUUUUAACUGUAUGUAUCUCCAACUACAUUACAUUUCUAAUUACAUCUAACCAAAGGACCCCUAAGUAUUUACAUAACUACAGCAUUUUCUACUACAACUAACCAAACAAAAUUCAUAUAAUUAUAAUUAUUAUAUUUUCAACUGUAUACAUCUCCAACAAUACUAUAUUUACAAUUAUGCCGAACUAUGACCCCUCACUGCAAUGAAGAUGAGGGCCUCAAUUUUGAAAAUUGUUAGUAGCCCAGAAACUAAUUAAUUUCAAUCAUUAAUUAACUUAUCACUGUUGUAAAAGCUUCAAAAAGCUUAUUAAAUACCUGAUUAAUUAGUCAAAAGCUGUUUACUAUUGAAUGCCUGGAGAGCCCUUUAGCAAGCAAUCAAGAACAAGAAAAAUCUGUCAUUGGCCUAUUAAAUUAGAUUUAGAGCACAUGGGAGGUACUUGAAAGAUACUUCAUGACUCUUUUAAUCACAUGGGAUGUACAUUUUUAGGCACAAGAAAUCUUGCAGGACACUUUUUUAUUUCUUUCAUAAUUAUGGUACAUAGCUAUCUAUUUAUAGAAUACAUGAAUGGGCAGCCACAUAAUAUCAUGAAAAUGAUUUCUGAACUAAGCCACCAUGUCACAAUUAAGGUAUAAACCAAUAGAAACUUGCCACAUGUUCAAUAAAAAUUUUGGACGCGCCCAUUGACGAUAUACGUACUCUAAAAUGUACAUCAAAGAUAAAUAUCUAUAUAUACAAUAAAUUAUUUAAUUAUUUUAUAUUGUAUAUAUUAUAUAUCUUCUAUAGAAUACAUGAAUUGGUAACUAGAUCACAUCAUGAAAAUGAUUUCUGAACGAGCCACCACGUUACAAUUAAGGCAUAAACCAAUAGAAACUUACUGCAUCUCCAAUAAAAAUUUAUAUAAACCUGCUCUAAAAUGUGCAUCAAAGAUAAUUUUCUAUAUACAAUAAAUUAUUUAAUUAUUUUAUAUUCUAAUAUUAUAUUAUAUUCUAUUUUACUAUAUUCUAUCUUACGGUAAUAAUUAUCAGAUAUUUUAUCAAUCAUUUAAAAUAUCAUGUAGUAUAUGGAGCAUUAGGAUACGUGAGGCGCAAGAAAAGAUUUAUCCUCUUUCUCUCUAUGGAAAUUAUGAGUGCACUCUAUUAGGCAUUCGUGCACUUGGUGUACAACACACCAUAUACUCAAAGCCUAAUAAAUAUAAUAGGGAUUUUAAAAACUGAUUCAUUAAAUAUAAUUUAAAUUAUUAGAUUUUAUAGUUCAGAUAUAUUUAACUAAGUUUUGGUAUUAGAAUAUCAGUCAUCUAAUAUAAGUUGAGGUGUAUGGAGUAUUAAUAUACACUAGGUAUAUGUAAUAGUUUCUUCUUUUUUAAUUAAUUUGAAUAAAAUAAAGACACUCUCACUUAUUUGGCAAUUUGAAAUAAGUCCUCCAACUUUAUAUAUUAAUAGAACAACUAAACAAAUAAGUAAGUUUGAUUCAACUUUUAAAUAAAGUUAUUAGAAUAAUUUAAUUCUACAAAUAGUGAAAGUUUCAAAAUGACUUGUAGUUGAGGGCUCCAUAUAUUUUUAUUUUUAUAAAAUUGAAAUUUAUUUUGAUAAAUAUAAUUUAUUAUAUUUUAAAAAAGUUAUGUAUAAAAAUAUUUAGUUAAAAAUUUAUUAGUUAGGCUUCAAAUAUUUUAUAAUUAAUAAUAAAAAUGGAUCGAAAUGUAAAACAAAAUGACGAAAUUUCCUAAGUUUUCAGUUAAUAAUAGGAAUCAGAAUAAUAAUCAACCCAUUAUUGUUGUUUGAUUAAUAAAACAUUUAGUUGCCCAUAAAAAAUAUUUAAAAUACAAGAGUCCGGCUAUGAUGCUAUCAAUAGCACGAGACAUUUGGUGCUAUCAAGUUUUCUACCGUUAGAUUUACCUCUUUUAUUAUUUUCAUCCGUUUGAUUAUACUAUUCAACUAACCACCCACUCAACCCUAGAGAGCCAACAUCAUCCUAACCGCACAUCUUUCAAUCCAAUAGUAGAAAACUUAAUAGCACCAAGUCACUGGUGCUAUUAAUAGUAUGCCAGCCUAGUUCAAAAUACAAUUCAAAUUAAAAUAUGAAAUUAAAUUACACGCUCAAAGAUAAAAUUCAAAUAUAAACUUUAAAUUAAAUUUGAAUUCAUGAUUUGCGUUCACAUCUCUUAUGCAAAUUUUGAUUCACAAUUUAAAUAUAGGUUUUGAUUUAAACUUUUGUUCACAUUUAAAUUUCAAAAUGAUAUAUUGAAUUCACAAUUUAUAUCGUGUUCAAACUAAAAUUCAAAAAUUAAAAUUUAUUAUUUAAAUGCAUAAUCAAAAUUUGAAUCCAAAUUAAAACUGACAACUUGAUCUUAGAGUUUAAAUUUAAAAAUGAAAUCACAAUUUAAAAUUAUACCUAAAUUCAAAUAUCAAACUUAUAUUAGAGAGUUAAUUGCAUACAGCUCAAUGUAAACAUAUUGAAUAGCAAAUAUAUCUCUACGAAGUUCAAUUUUUCAUAUUUAUCUCUGCAAAAAUUCUAAUGUUUAGAAAUUGGCUUUUUAACCCCCUUUUAUAUUAUUUUUGAUGGUAGAAAGGAAGGAGAUGAUCAUUGAAAUUUUUUUUGAGAGGAUAUUUCUGUAUAAUGCUAACCGUUAAAAUUUUUGAGGGGACAUAUUUAUAAUAAAUAGUGCUAUAAGGUAAUAAAUAAGAAAGAUAAAUAUGAAUAUCACUAAAUUUUUAUAGAAAUAAAUAUGAAAACUAAAUUUUAUAGGGAUAUAUUUGAUAUUCGAUAUGUUUAUAAAGAGUUGUAUAAAAUUAAUUGUAUAUUAAAACUUAAGCUUAAAUAACUGAAAUUUAAUUUGAUAGGAUCCGUUUUCUAAAAAAAAUUCAUAACUUUAUUAAAUUUAAAAUUAUUUUAAAAAUUUAUUAUUUUAUAAAUAUUUUAAGAAAUUUUAUUUUUUUAUUUAACAUAUUAGGUAAAAGAGAAUCAUUUUAUUUUUUUUAAAUUUUGAAUUUUUUAAUAUUUUUAAUAAAUUUUAAAAUAUUAAAGGGUCACCACGAAGCCCAGCCUGGCCCGGCCUGGCACGGCCCGGACCAUACGGGCCCGAGGUCGUGCUGGGCCGGGAAUUCAUAAAUAUCGGCCCGGCCCCGCCCGGCCCGGCUGAAUGUUAUUCGAGCCGGGCCGGGCUGAUCUUUGGCCCGGUUUGGCCCGGAUGAAUGUGGGCCGUGCAGGCCCGGCACGGCUCACAUUACAGCCCUAAGUGAAACCCUCAAAAGUCCCUCGCUCUUCUCCCAAAUGGGAAAAAGGCGGGAGAAAAAUUUGAGUGAGAGAUGUGAGCGAUGCGAAUCAAUGGGGUUUCCAAAUCGCAUCUGAGUUCAGUCUCAACCUCAGAAGCUCAAAUCGUCGAAGAGGUAAUCUAUCACAGCACAAACCAAAUCCCGUGUUUGAUGGCUUCGUUUAUUUUACUUAGAAAUAAAUUUAGCUGAAAAUGUGAAUCAACUAGGAUUUGAACUGGAAACCUUAUGUACCAACCAUCAAGUCCUUUGCCACUUGCUCUAGGGGGGUUGAUAUGCUAUUAGUUAUAGCAAUAUUAGGGCUUGUUUAGUGGCGUUGUAUUUUUUUGUUUUAAUAGAAUUUCUACAUGAAAUAGUGUAGGAGGGGAGAGUGCAUUGCUUUCGAACCUUACAUCCAAGGUAUUUUUGGCAAUGAAAAAUAAAAACUUGAAAACAAUUUUUAUUUUUGCUUCCAUUUUUUUUUUUAUUUUAAGUUGUCAUUCGUCAUUUUGUCGGAAUGUAUUACAAGCUACCAACCAUAAAAAAUAUAAAAGCAAAGUUUUUCCAUCUGUAAAUCAAAUUCUAUGGAAUUAGUGUUUAAAAAAUGAAAAAAAUGACAAUGAUCCCAAAUGAGUCGUAGCUUUCUUACUACUUAAAUAAGGGUAUAUUAGGAAAAGUAGAUGCAUUAAAAUGAUAAUUUUCCAUUUCUUUCUGAACAAUAAAAUGGAAUGGAAUGGAAUGGAAUUCAGUUCAACUCCAAUUUAUUUCAAACAAAAAUUCAAUAAGAUUAGACUAAAUUACAGAAAAUUUUCCUGUCAAUAUCCACUUUUUUACUUUCCCUCCUGUCAUUCAAAAAUGUAUGCUUUGCCCCCUUAAAAAAUAAAAAAUAUUCACUUUGGCUCCCGCCGUCAAUAUUCCGUUAGAGUUCCGCUUAUAUCAUAUUUUUUAUACCCAAAAUAUUCCUAAAACUCUCAUCUUCCUUCUCGUUCAUCAACAAUAUCCUCGGCCGCGCCGCCUUGCCCUCACGCAGUCCUUUGUCCGUGCCCACACACAUGCCCUCGCCCUCCUCCACCGCCUCACCCUCGCCCUCGUCCUCGCCCACCUCUCCACCCAUAGCCACUAUGAUCUCCUCCCUACAGUCGCCGAAAUAA